UUUUUUUUUCUUUUGAUAGAAGGGUUGCGUUGCGUCCACGGGGGAAAAAGCAGAGGAGGAUUCCAUCUCCCCCACUCGGCCACUCCCCAUCCCACCCCACCCCACCGCCGCGGGAUCCACUGCGCUGCGGCGAGGACGACGGCGAGGCGACCCCGGCCCUGCGCACCAGGGGCGCGAUGGUAAGAUCCGCGGCUCGCUUCCUGUGAUUCGUUGACCGUGUGACGAUCUCGGCCUGUAGCGCGCGCUUAAAUCUUAGGGUUCUUAGGGUGUUUCCGGCGAUCUGUGGGUUGUGGACUGGUUCACUGGUUGGCGUCGUAUGCUGCGUCUCCCCGUGUUGACGUGGUGCGGUUGCUUUGAUGUCUUGGCCGGUGGCUGGUGUCUCGUGCAGAUUCAGCUGAUGCUGGUUUCGGUAGGCCGAGGAAUCCUGUGUAGUACGUAUGGCAAGUGCGCCACGAGAUUUUGCUUGCUACUCCGAUUAGGAAGCGAGUGAGGGGCAGACACGGGUUUGUCGGCGUGCUGAUUUUGGCGUCGAGUUAUCGUUAGGGGCCAUACUUGUUUGCUUUGUGGCAUGUAUUUUUGUCAGGCGAAUGAAGGGGCGGCAAAUUGAUGGUUACAGCACCACCUGGAAUUGUUUUAUGUUCUUGGAGUCCAAUUGGCUGGCCUUCUGUGAUUUUACUUUGCUACUUCAAAUAGGAAGUGAGUAAGGAGCAGACAUGAAUUUUUAUCAAGCGAGUGAAGGGGCGGCAAAUUGAUGGUUACAGCAUGAAUCCUAUUGGCUGGCCUCCUGUGAUUUUGCUUGCUACGUUGAAUAGGAAGUGAGUAAGGAGCAGACAUGGGUUUGUCGGCGUGCUAAUUUUGGCGUUGAGUUGUCCUUAGGGGCCAUACUUGUUUGCUUGUUGGCGUGUAUUUUUGUCAAGCGAGUGAAGGGGCGGCAAAUUGAUGGUUACAGCUCCACCUGGAGUUGCUUUGUGUUGCUGGAACCCAGUUGGCUGGCCUAAAAGUGGGUUGUGCAGCAUCUUGAGUCUGGCAGUGUUAUUUGUGCCACCAGUGGCACUUCGUCUGAUGAUACACGCAGAUUUCUUCAUAAGAAUCAGCUCUUCAAUAUACUGCUUUCAGACGAAGUAUAUACGGUUGAAAUUUGCAUGCAAGCUUAAUCCUGUGGAAUCUAAACUAGCUGGGUGCAUUGAUACGUUUUAACUGUAGGUUGAUAGUCUAUUGUAUAUUAAGCACAUCAAAUGUUCCAUCUUCAAGACUUCAAAAUUACUGUUAGUACCGGAGGAAAGAAAAUGGUUUAGGCAUUGUGUGGAGCACGGGAAUUUUUCCUUAAGACUGCAGGAAACGUAGGGUUUCCCGUGAAAUUUGUGCUCUUAAAAUAUGCCUUUAACUCUAUCCAUACUACUGGUAUUGUUAUAAUGGUCUACUACAUACCAUCUGUUGAAAGCGAGAUUCUUCUUGGUAGGCUGACCAUGACCCAGAGUUGGAGGCCAUCAGGCAGAGGCGAGUGCAAGAGCUAAUGGGACAGCGUGGUGGUGCGGUAAGUUACUUAAGUGCAUGGUGAAAGUUGAAUCUGUACUCAAAAAUUGUGCAUUUUUCUUGAUUUGCUGACUGGAAUGUAAUGAUUAACUUCAUAAUUAUAGGCAAGCCCACAAAAUGCAGGGCAACAAAAGGCUCAGGAAGAUGCAAAGCAGUAUGGUCUUAUUACCACCAUAUUCCCAUGAUUAUCUCAUCAUCCAUCUUACGCUAUGUCAUAUGAAGCUUUAGGAGACACUGAGCUGACUUUGUAUCUCAAACUCAACCAGGGAAGCUGAGGAACGCCGACAGAUGAUGCUUUCUCAGAUACUAUCUUCUGAAGCUAGAGAAAGACGUAAGUUCCCUUUUAAUGUCAUUUCUGUUGUCUACGAUGGUUGUUUUUUAUUUACAGCCAAAUAAUUCAAGCCAGAGCACUUGCUUUUCUUAACAACUGACAAGUUCAAUCACUUAACAGUCUACCACUAAGCAAUAUGGAAAACGUUUAGGUGUUUCAGAAAAUUUCCUGCGGUUCUUCAAGUAGUUUUCUUUUAGGGAGUAAAUAUUCUAAUUAGAGAUGACGCCAGGCUGGGAAAUAACCAUGAGUCUUUGAAGUUGCAUAAUUUAAGCGGAAAAUGUAAUUUAAUACAUCUGUACUCUGUAAAAUUGGCAGUCUCCCGCAUAGCUUUGGUCAAGCCUGAUAAAGCAAGAGGAGUGGAGGAUGUUCUGCUGAGAGCUGCACAAACUGGUGGAAUAUCUGAAAAGGUAAUACCGUAAUAGAUAUGUGUUUCUCUCGUAUGUCAACAUAUUCGGUAGAACUUGCUUGAAACAAAAUUGCAUUUGCUUGUCUGCAGGUGUCUGAAGAAAGGCUUAUCUCACUUCUGGAGCAAAUCAACAGCCACACAAGCAAACAAACCAAAGUGACGGUACGUACAUCAGUAGGUGUUGUGGCCUGUAUCGAUUCUUAACACAAGACAUAUAGUUGCAUAAAGAGAGUUCAUUACAUUAAAGAAAAUCUACUUUGCUUCCAGUAGUGGGUUUAGGCUUAAGCUCUAUUAGAAUUCCAUAUCAUGGCCUUGCAAAGUUCUCUGCAUCUGAAAACUAUCCAACUAAAACGCAGUCAGCUUUUAUAUCACCCUUUUCCUUCCAUGCUAACUCUAGUAUGUUCAACAGAUUCAGAGGCGUCGCAACGUCCUUGACGACGAUGACUAGUUGGUAAGCUUGAUGUACGAGCGAAUGGGUGCAGCGGCAUUUGGUGCUUGAUUCAACAACCGUCAGAACCUGACAAACUAUUUGAUUGGUCUUGGGUUGUAUAUGAUCUGGAUAUUAUUUGGUGGGGUUUUUCAUUGAUAACAGUUGGAUGUUCGCUUCUACCCCUGAAACUCUCUGCGACACUUUUGAGUUGUUGUGGUCAAUUUAUCAAGUCCUAUCAGAUAAUGUUAAUCUGCACGGGUUCCUCCUGUGCAAUGUGAUGUCUGUCUCAGGUUGCUCCUAAGUUCUUCAUGUGCAAUGUGAUGUCUGUCUCAGCUUGCUCCUAAGUUCUUCAUGUGCAAUGUGAUGUCUGCAACUCAGUGAUUAGAUGGUCCUCCUUACUACGCCUGUGCAAUGUGAUGCCUACUUCGGCUGGCUACUACACUACGUGGAUUCCAUGAUUCUCCAUCAGUGACAACAUGGAUAUAGUUGAUAGAGGAGUCGAGUUCCGACUGCAUCACUCGUGUUUGUGCGUACAUUUAUCCACAUGCCCUGUAUUGGCCAUGAAGUGUUUAGCUGAAGGUUUAAUGCAAGGAAAAUAAGUGCAAUCCAAGAAUGUAGUAAAGACGGGUGGAUUUGGUAAUGCAAAAUAUUCUGGAUCGGAUUUGUCAUGUGCAAUUCAUCCGAACGUCCUUUGCGCCGCAGCAGCUUGGAACCAGAUUUGAAUCCAAGAACACUCUGGUUGCAAACUGCACAAGGUUGUUCACAGAGCAGCUCACAUUUGCCAUUUUCAGGAUUCAGAGGAUAAUACCAAACUGCUGCUGCCAACUGAUAUACAUACUGCAAAGUAAACUACUGUACCUUGAGAACAGGACAGGGUAAGGCAAACCGUUGGGUUGUUCUUAUCCUGCCACGUUAAAUGACCAUGAUCCUCAAUAGCAGCAGGAAAUUAAGCCCGACUGAUUGAACAAGACUGGGUUCUGCGCCUAAUGCAGAAACAGAACCUACUGGGGCAUCAGGAAUCUGGAAACACAAAUUACAUUGCUACGAUAAUUAUGAAAGCACAGACAUGGCAGGGACUAGCUCAAGAACCUAGCAAGAAAUCAAAUCCCUACUGCAUAAAUGUAUCACUAUUUCUCAGUCUCGGUUUGCACCAGUGAAUUCAGAUCUUACUACCAAAUUCCAAAUUCCAUAAACGAAUCUCGGUUUUUAUUACCACUGUUUGCAGAUAACCAGAGUUCAGCAACCAGAAUACAAAUGGCCAGACAUUUCAGAAGGGUCAAAAGCUAACAUCAGUCAGGCAAGAUCACUAGUACAGAUAUAGGAACACAACUUGAGUUCUAGAUAGAUUUCAGUUUGCCAAAGCAGCAACUUGAGUUCUUACUACAACCAACGAGCCAACAAAGCGUUGGCAAUCACCCAGCACAGGUACUGCUACCGCUACUUGCAGAUAGAUAGAUAAGCAGAGUACAGAUACAGAAACCAACUACACGCCGUCAGUCUAGGAGGAGGUGAACUUGGUGACGGCCUUGGUGCCCUCGGAGACGGCGUGCUUGGCGAGCUCGCCGGGGAGGACGAGGCGGACGGAGGUCUGGAUCUCCCGGGAGGUGAUGGUGGGCUUCUUGUUGUACCUCGCGAGCUUGGCGGACUCGCCGGCGAGCUUCUCGAAGAUGUCGUUGAUGAAGGAGUUCAUGAUGGACAUGGCCUUGGAGGAGAUGCCGAUGUCGGGGUGGACCUGCUUCAGCACCUUGAAGAUGUAGAUCUUGUACGUCUCGACGCUCUUCUUGGCCUUGCUGCCCUUCUUCCGGCCCCUCGUCUUGGCCUCGCCGCCGGCCUCCUUGGACGCCGUCUUGCCCGCCGGCAGCCGCUUCUCGGCCUUGGGCUUCUUGCCGGCGGGGGUUUUCUCCGCCGCCUUCUCCACCUUGUUCUCGGCGACGGUCUUCUUGUCUGCCUUGGGGGCCAUGGCUGCCGCUUCGGGUGGGAUUGGGAGCUCCGGUGGUGAGAUGUGUGAGUUUGCUGGAGGCAGGGAAGAUGGGGACUGAGAUUGUGGGGAAAGGAGGAGAUGGGUGCUGGAUUUUAUAGGGGAGAGAGCUGCGCGCUGAUUGGUGGACGGGUCAGUGCCUCGGAUCGCUGACGUGGAGCGACGGUAUGGCCCACUCUCGAACUGCUGCAACGCAAAGCAUCGUUUGAAGGGAACCAGGGGUGAAAACUAAACAUGGACACCGCGGAUCGCUGACGUGGACACACUCCCAAACUGUUGCAAAGGCAUCAUGCCCUUGAACGGGCCUUUGCUUGACAAAGCCCGAAGCAAGAAUACCGAACCCGGAUCCGGCCCGGCCAGAAACAUUUGAACAGUACAGUUUUUAAUAGUUCUUCUCUUCUUCUUCUAAAAAAGAAGUUCUUAAUAGUUCUAAAAAAAAUACAGUUCUUAAUUAAAGUAAUUAAAUUUAGGUUAUUUAAAUAUAGAACUAUACCUGUUUUUAGAUUAAAACAAUUAUUUAAAACUCAUUCGGUUUUUAUUCGGACUUUGGACAAAAAUGUCGAGCCCAUGCAUGGACUGGAUGCCGGGCUUUCGGGUCAGGCUCGUCGGGACGAGCUGCCCAUGAAUAGCGCUAUUGAAAAUGGAGCGGAUGCAAAUUGAAUAGUGUUCUUCUACGUGGGUGCCGGUCCGCAAGGUGUACAACAAUUCUCGAACCUUUGGUCCGCCGUCAGUAACAUACAACUAAAUAGUGCUAUCCUGGAUGUUUUCUCGUGGAGGUGGAGUUCAACUGGACAGUACUCGACGCAAUCUACCUACAAAAUGCUAUAAGAGGGCAUGAUUCGUUUGCCCACUGCUCACUGUGUCCGGGAAAGAUAGCCGCCACUUAGAUGCAAAAUAUUCAUAUGGCUUGCUAUUUAAUACCGAGUAUGGACCUUCGACCAUCGAUUCCGGCAUGGGCUACAAGACGCUAGUCCCCUUACUUCACUUGCUGUUAGGAAGAUGAUACUCUCGACCACAUACUUUUGCAAUGUGCUUAUGCACGACAGGCGUGGCACGCAUAUUUCACUACACUGGCUGACUAUGUCGGCAUCCCCAUAGUGGAGGACAACUUGGAGGAGUGGCGGCUUCGUGUGCGCCAAGCUUUGCUGAAACGAAUGAGAAAGAGUUUUGAUACACUAUUUAUUCUUAUUGCCUGGAGCCUGUGGAAGCAAAGAAACGGGCAAGGGUGUUUGGUAAUGUGACUUAGCAACACGAUAUCCCUCAAUUUUUAAACCACAUUCUUGACGAGGUUCAGACUUGGAGAUUAGCAGGAGCUAGGUGUUUUCAAAUCUUUAUGAGAGAGUACCUUGUUUUGCUUCAGGCAUAUCUUGUAACAUAUUCUCUGCCUUCUGUAAAACUAUGAUACACAAUUUUCGUACUCUAAAAAAAUGGUCUUCUUCCCAUUACUAUUUUCAUACAAAUAGAUACAAAUGUGAAUACGAAUGUUAUAGAUACGAAUGUAAAGCAAGUGUUACUUGAAUAUCGACACAUAUCGCAUGUUUACUCGAUUCAAAACAGAUAUGAAUAAUAGCGACAUUUCAUUAUAGAAAAUAAGUUAAUAGCUAUGUCACACAAAAUAAUCAAUUUGCAGCAUACAAAAUAAGUCAAUGAUAGACAUGUUUAUGAAUAAAUACCACUAUAAUGCAUAAUAAUUUGGGAGGUUUACAUUUUUUUUUCCCUAACUUUGUCCCGACCUCAUCUUUACCCCUAAAUAAAAAUAGUGCUCAACUUUGCCCCUCUUCCGUUAAGUGCGCUUAUAGAAAUGUAACGGUCAAAGGCCUUUGACUGGACGGAAAAUGUACGGAAGGGCAUUUCUAUAAGAGCACUUAACGGAAGAGGGGCAAAGUUGAGCAUUGUUUUUAUUUAGGGGUAAAGAUGAGGUCGGGACAAAGUUAGGGGGGAAAUGGAAUUGGCCCUAAUAAUUUUUAGGUUUCAAACCUUUUGUGGAACAUGUUGGUAAAGGGGGGAAUAAUGUUUGACCUAGGCGGCCCAAGGGCGACCCAGCACCGUCGCCUUCCGGCCGGUCGGGAUCCCCGUACCACCAGUGAUGCUUCCAUGUACUCCCCUCGGGAGCACUAUGGUCUGGUUGUGGCCACGUCCACCCCUCGAGUGUUGGUUCUCCGAAUCCCUGACACGUCGAUGUAGAUUGGAUCGAGAAGGUUCAAUGUAGGAGUCCGAGCCCUACACUCUCGCUCUCUCACACACACUCACACACUCUUCCUAGCUCGAAUCAAUAUGACUCUCUUCCUCUAUCUCUUCGGGCAUCCUCUCUUACAAAGAUAGCUUUUGGAGCCAAAUAUUGUUAUAUUGAUUCAUCAAAAGCCAUAAAAACUCCAAAAGCACAUAUUUUGGAGCUUUUAUGGCUUUUUGGUCAAAGUGGAAAACACUACAAAAAAAUACACUUCCGUGAUGAUACGUGUUUGUCAAAGUAGGUCGCGUUUUUUGUCAUGCAUGUACAUCCAUGACGAUUUUAUGGCAGAAUCAAGAUAGUCAUAUAUGUACUGUCGUAAAAGUGUUCCAUGACAUUACCAAAAUUAUCAUCACGUAAGUGUCCACUUCCAUGACGAUAAAUCGCGCGUCACGGAAGUGCUUUUGUCGAGGAUGACCGACACGUGGCAUCCACCAUAAUGGAACGUCGUUAAGCUAUCGGGUCCGGUUUUGGAUCCGAUAACCCGUUAAUAGCCCCGACCAAUGGGGAUUUUCCACGUGUAAAAUCAUCAUUGGCUGGAGGAAACACGUGUCGGCUCAGCGUUGGGACAAAUGUCAUCCACUCAUUGGAUAGAAGGUGCCUAUGAUACGUCGACACGUGGCACGACCCAACAGAGGCCCAUUCCUGUGAAAAGGCCGGCCCAUGGAAAGCCUGUUAACGACAUGUUCGCAUAUAGCCCAUUUACAGCCCUCUAACCCAAGGCCCGUUACGCCCUAUCUAAAUUAGGCCCAGUAGCGUCAUCUGGGCCAUCCAAUAUGAUUCCAGCCCAUUUUAACUUUCGGCCCAUGUAUGGCCCAUGACGUCUUUCAGCCCAUAUGAGGUCCUUUGUAACUCUUGGCCCAUUAACUGCCCGUGGUGAAACUGAUCCGUAAUGAACAAUGUAUCACUUUAUACCCAUUAACGGCCCAUUAUUCCAUUGGGCCGUUUCCAGCCCAAGGUAUCUUUCGGCUUUCUUAGGGGCCAUUUAUUCUUGGGCUCAUUUCUAGCAUUCGGUUACUUACGGCCCAUUACUGUCAUUUUCUGCUUGUGGGCCAAAUUCAGCCCAUGGUUACAGUCGGCCCGUUUGUGGCUCGUUCAUACGUUGGGUUGUUUUCAUGUAAAAAAACGUUGGGCUGUUUUCAUAGAGUUAUCAAAUACGACCUAUUAACGGUCCGUUAUGGUCCACGAAUAGUACGGCACAUGAUUGGCGAAAUGAUGAUACACCCUGUAGAAGGCCCAUGGAUCCUACGGCCCGUAAAGGCCCAUGGAUCCUACGGUCGGUAGAAGGCCCAUGGCUCGUACGGCCCGUAGAAGGCCCAUGGUUCCCACGGCCCGUAGAAGGUCCAUGGAUCAUAUGGUCCGUGUAGAAGGCCAAUGGAUCCUACGGCCCAUAGUGAAGGAAAUAUGCCCUAGAGGCAAUAAUAAAGUUAUUAUUUAUUUCCUCAUAUCAUGAUAAAUGUUUAUUAUUCAUGCUAGAAUUGUAUUAACCGGAAACAUGAUACAUGUGUGAAUACAUAGACAAACAUAACGUCACUAGUAUGCCUCUACUUGACUAGCUCAUUAAUCAAAGAUGGUUAUGUUUCCUAACCAUAGACAUGUGUUGUCAUUUGAUUAACGGGAUCACAUCAUUAGGAGAAUGAUGUGAUUGACAUGACCCACUCCGUUAGCCUAGCACUUGAUCCUUUAGUAUAUUGCUAUUGCUUUCUUCAUGACUUAUACAUGUUCCUAUAACUAUGAGAUUAUGCAACUCCCGUUUACCGGAGGAACACUUUGGGUGCUACCAAACGUCACAACGUAACUGGGUGAUUAUAAAGGAGUACUACAGGUGUCUCCAAAGGUACAUGUUGGGUUGGCGUAUUUCGAGAUUAGGUUUUGUCACUCCGAUUGUCGGAGAGGUAUCUCUGGGCCCUCUCGGUAAUGCACAUCACUAUAAGCCUUGCAAGCAAUGUAGCUAAUGAGUUAGUUACGGAAUGAUGCAUUACGUAACGAGUUAAGAGACUUGCCGGUAACGAGAUUGAACUAGGUAUUGGAUACCGAUGAUCAAAUCUCGGGCAAGUAACAUACCGAUGACAAAGGGAACAACGUAUGUUGUUAUGCGGUUUGACCGAUAAAGAUCUUCGUAGAAUAUGUGGGAGCCAAUAUGGGCAUCCAGGUCCCGCUAUUAGUUAUUGACCAGAAACAAGUUCUAGGUCAUGUCUACAUAGUUCUCGAACCCGUAGGGUCCGCACGCUUAACGUUUCAUUGACGAUAUAGUAUUAUAUGAGUUAUGUAUGUUGGUAACUGAAUGUUGUUCGGAGUCACGGAUGAGAUCAUGGACAUGACGAGGAACUCCGGAAUGGUCCGGAGAUAAAGUUUGAUAUAUGUGAUAAUAGUGUUUGGUCUCCGGAAGAGUUCCGGAAUUCACCGGAAGGGGUUCCGGAUGUUUCCCAAAAUGUUUGGGUACGAGAACACGUUAUUUGGGCCAAAGGGGAAAGCCCACAAGGUUUUUGGAAAGCACAAAAGGAAGUUUUGCGGAGUCCAGGGGCCAUACGCCAGGGUCCCUGGCGUCUGGGUCCAGACGCCGGGAACCCUAGCGUCUGGCCCUGGAGUCCGAGAAGGACUCUUGCCUUUCGGGUGAAACCGACUUUGUGGAGGCUUUUACUCCAAGUUUCGACCCCAAGGCUCAACAUAUAAAUAGAGGGGCAGGGCUAGCACCAAAGACACAUCAAGAAACACCAAGCCGUGUGCCAGCAACCCCGUCCCCUCUAGUUUAUCCUCCGUCAUAGUUUUCGUAGUGCUUAGGCGAAGCCCUGCGGAGAUUGUUCUUCACCAACACCAUCACCACGCCGUCGUGCUGCCAGAACUCAUCUACUACUUGCCCGUCUUGCUGGAUCGAGAAGGCGAGGACGUCAUCGAGCUGAACGUGUGCAGAACUCGGAGGUGCCGUGCGUUCGGUACUUGGAUCGGUCGGAUCGUAAAGACGUAUGACUACAUCAACCGCGUUGAUAAACGCUUCCGCUUAGCGAUCUUCAAGGGUAUGAAGAUACACUCCUCCUCUCGUUGCUAUGCAUCACCAUGAUCUUGUGUGUGCGUAGGAAAAUUUUGAAAUUACUACGUUCCCCAACAGUGGCAUCCGAGCCUGGUUUUAUGCGUAGAUGUCAUAUGCACGAGUAGAACACAAGUGAGUUGUGGGCGAUACAAGUCAUACUGCUUACCAGCAUGUCAUACUUUGGCUCAGCGGUAUUGUGAGAUGAAGCGGCCCGGACUGACAUUACGCGUACGCUUACACGAGACUGGUUUCACUGUUACGAGCACUCGUGCUUAAAGGUGACUGGCGGGUGUCUGUCUCUCUCACUUUAGCUGAAUCGAGUGUGGCUACGCCCGGUCCUUGCGAAGGUUAAAACAGCAUUAACUUGACGAACUAUCGCUGUGGUUUUGAUGCGUAGGUAAGAACGGUUCUUGCUAAAGCCCGUAGCAGCCACGUAAAAUUUGCAACAACAAAGUAGAGGACGUCUAACUUGUUUUUGUAGGGCAUGUUGUGAUGUGAUAUGGUCAAGACGUGAUGCUAUAUUUUAUUGUAUGAGAUGAUCAUGUUUUGUAACCGAAGUUAUCAGCAACUGGCAGGAGCCAUAUGGUUGUCGCUUUAUUGUAUGAAAUGCAAACGCCCUGUAAUUGCUUUACUUUAUCACUAAGUGGUAGCGAUAGUCGUAGAAGCAAUAGAUGGCGGAACGACAACGAUGCUAUGAUGGAGAUCAAGGUGUCGCGCCGGUGACGAUGGUGAUCACGACGGUGCUUCGAAGAUGGAGAUCACAAGCACAAGAUGAUGAUGGCCAUAUCAUAUCACUUAUAUUGAUUGCAUGUGAUGUUUAUCCUUUAUGCAUCUUAUGUUGCUUUGAUUGACGAUAGCAUUUUAAGAUGAUCUCUCACUAAAUUAUCAAGAAGUGUUCUCCCUGAGUAUGCACCGUUGCGAAAGUUCUUCGUGCUGAGACACCACGUGAUGAUCGGGUGUGAUAGGCUCUACGUUCAAAUACAACGGGUGCAAAACAGUUGCACACGUGGAAUACUCAGGUUAAACUUGACGAGCCUAGCAUAUAACAGAUAUGGCCUCGGAACAUGGAGACCGAAAGGUCGAGCGUGAAUCAUAUAGUAGAUAUGAUCAACAUAUUGAUGUUCACCGUUGAAACUACUCCAUCUCACGUGACGAUCGGACAUGGUGUAGUUGAUAUGAAACUACUCCAUCUCCGCCGCCUACUCCAUCUCAGGUUCUUGAGUUGAAGCUUUGACUUUCAGCAUAGGUGUCCUCUUGGCAGGAACCUUCCUGUUUAGUCUUGGCUUGGUGGCUGCAGCUGAGCCAUACUCCUUCUUGAGCACUAUCUUCUUGGAAGUGGCAUCAUCCUCUUCUGCCACAUAGUCUUCAUCCUUAGAGUCUUAGGUUUUCUUCCUUCUGGCCCUUGUGGCAGCUUUGGGCAAAUUUCUUGGGGUGCUCUUGCUGCCCUCAUCUGAGGAACUAGAGGGACUAGUGCCCUCACUCAUGUGAACUUGCUCCUCUUCCCUGUUCUGGCUGUCACUUUGGUCUGACAUGCUGCAAACACUGACUGUGUGAUCCUGUGAAUAGAUGUAGAUGAGAUAGAAUGGAUGAGCAUCACAAAAUGCAGAGGUUUUUGCAAAAGAAUGAUUCAAAAACUUAGUUUUAGUUUUCCACAGAAAGCAUUUUGGAUCAACCGAUUUGUAAACUCGGUGAUACCGAAGCAGCUUUUGGAACCUAAACUAGUGAACUCGGUCAAACCGAGUCACAGUUUGGUGGCAUCGAGACUGCUAGGGUUUCACAGAAUUCUAAACUCGGUCACACCAAUUUGCAAUUCUCGGUCAAACCGAGAAUCACUUGUGAAUGGCUUUAGCCGAAUCGGUGGAACUGAGUUUUUCAACUCGGUGGGUCCGAGAUGGUUUCGGCGGAAACCUAACCCUAAUUUUUCAAUUCACAUCUAAUCUAAGGAUUGUUUUGACUAGAUAGAUUCAUCUCAAUCAUGGCAAGAAUCAUUAUGAACACAAUGUGCUAGGAAUCGGACGGGGAUAGCACUGUGAUCGAGUCCAUACCCUAGUUUGGCGAUGAACUCGCUACGGCGACAACGGCGGGGUAGAAUUCCGUUGAUGGCGGCGGAGACCAGCGACUGGAGGCGGCUAGCGACGAAGUCGACGAUCCGGAGACCCUGGAGGCAGAGCGAGCUAUGCGCGGGCGAAGGGGUUUGGAGAAAGUUUCCAAAUUUUUGCUCGUGAGUAUAUAUAGCCCGACCCUGUCGGUGUGACCGAGUGGACAACUCGGUGGCACCGAGAUGCAUAACUGUUGACAUUUACAGCAACUCGAUGAGACCGAAAAGUUCAAAUCGGUUGCACUGAGAUUGAAAACCUAGAUCGACUUAGUGAUCUCGGUAUGACCGAAAUGGAAGAAUCGGUCAGACCGAAACGCACAAAGAAGUUUUGGAAGUUUAAGUCUAUGACGAAUUGGGGACUCCGAGUGCUCCUCACACAGAGUGGUUCGAAUCUGACUUGAUCAAAUUUUGUGAUGUAGCAUGAAUAGAGUUUGAGAUAAGAAAAGCAUAGAUAGCUAGAGAAGGUUCUUAGGCAUUCUUGUUCAUCCACUUGGCAAAAGAAAAAGAAGCCAAUCAAUCAAAGCAACAAGUGGAUGUCCUUGAAUGAGUUAAAUAUGCAACCAACAUGCUCACACAAUAAAAUGGCAAAUGAAAUAUGUGGCAAAGCAUGCACAACCAAUUCUAGCAUCUAUCAAGCAAUUGGCGAUGACUAGGUCAUCUAUAUAUGAGUAUAUUGACUUAGGAGCCAAAUGAGAACAUUUGAUCAUAGGUCAUACUCAUCGUUUAAGCUCAAGUGGGGUUACCACUUUUACAUAAUGCAUUGAUGUGUUCACAUCAUUAGCGCUGCUUUGACUCAUUUCUUAGAGUUAAGCUCCCCCUAGAUGUGAGAUCCCCCCUAAGAGGGAUGAACUAACCUUGGGUUUUCUCGAUGAUGACUUCAUGUAGGUGUUGAAGAUGUGGAUGCUCAAUGUUGAUGAAGAUCAUUUGGAGCAAUCCUUUGGAGUGAGUUGCACUUUCAAUACCUACACGGGUUAGUCCCACAAGGAACAAACAAGUAUAUCCAUAGACAUAGAGUGAUGCACACACAAGAUGAUGUCCAUGAAAGCAUUAGGUUACCUUGUCACUUGUCUUACCAACAUGAGGGUUCGUGACUCCUUGAACUAGUGCAAGAUGUGGAAGUUGAUUGCACUUGUCGUUGCCAAUAGGAUAUGAGUGAAGAAUGUUGGCGGAGUCACCCUCAAGAACUCUCUAGUUCUUCUUCUUCGGGAUCCACAUCAUCUUGAUGGGAAUCCUUGGAGUUGUAGUCGUACUUGAUGAAGUAGAACUUGACGUAGUCUUGGGAACCCACUUGACCAAGGCCUUUGGAGCUUCUUCAAAUGCAUCAAUCUCCUCUUGAAGCUUGCCCUUGCCUUUUUGCUUGUGGUCUUGUGGUGGAAGAUCAUCUUGAGCUUGUGUCCCCUUGAAGGAAGUAGGAUCAUACUUCUCUUGUUGAGGAACAAACUUCAUCUUGGGGUAUUGAUCUUCUUCCCACUCAACUCAAUUGGCAUUGAACUUUCGUUCAAAACCAACACCUUGAUUCUUCCGGUGCCUUCCUUCCUUGCGUACAAUUUCCUCGAAUUGCUUACUCCCGGCAAGGCUCUUGUAAACACGUUUCUCUAUGAUUCCCUUCAAUAAGCUAUUUUCUUGCUCAAGUGUAACUUGGCUAAGAGAAUCAUUAGUGGAAUCAAGAGUACUACUAGAAGCAACAAUAUUGGAUUUAGCAUGAUCAUUGUUACUACUAGAGGAAGAAUCCUUCUUGUUUUUGUUACUAGACUUGACUUGAGGCAUGUAAGUAGAUAAGAGUAAACGCUUGGCAAUGUAAGAAGAACUUUUCUUACGAAGAUCAUCAUUGAUUGCCUUUAAGAACUCAUGCUCUUGCUCAAGAUUGAGCUUUUCAAAGCGUAACUUCUCAUGAGUCCUUAAAAGUUCUCGAUGAUCUUCCAAGAUAGUUUCAUGAGCUAACUUAAGAGUGUUUAGUUCUUUAGUUAGGAGCUCAAUUUUCUCCUUAUCAUCGUCAUUCAUUUUAUCUUGAUUAGCAUGAUUAAUUGACAUUUCAUCAUAGUAUUCAUCACUAGAGUUGUCAAUAAGUAAAUCAUCAUCACCUAACAAGUCAUCUUCAUCACUAUUGAAAUCAACAUACUCAUGGUGUGUUAACUUUGGGCCUUUAGCCAUGAAUCAUCUUCCAAUUCCUUCAUUUGGUGAAUCAAAUAUGUCGUAGGAGUUGGUUGACACAAGUGUUAGACCGGCAACACCUUCAUCUUGAGUAUGUUCGGAGUCAGAGUGAUAGCUUCUCUCGGAGUGAUGUUCAGAGUCGGAACCGGAUACCCAUUCACCAACAUGAGCUUGAUGUCUUCGCUUUGUGUAGCUCUUUGAUGACUUGUCCAUCCUUUCUGAAUCCUUCCUUCUCUGGGAUGUUCUUCGUUCAUACAGAUCAUCUCUACUCCUCUCUCUUGGCGGUGGUUCUUCUCUUCUACUUCUUCUCUUGGGAGAAUCUUCUCUUCUUUUGUAGGGAGCCGUACACUCAUUGGAGUAGUGUCCGGGUCUCCCACAAUUGUAGCAAUUUCGCUCUCGACUGGAAGAUCUUUUGUCAUUGUAGGACCUUGACUUGGAGCUUCUCUCUUUGCUUCUACUCUUGUAGAAUUUGUUGAAGUUCUUCACCAUUAAGCUCAAUUCUUCAUUGAAGGUUUGUUUCUCACUUGAUGAUGUAGGAGCUUCACAUGAGGCUUUGUAAGCACCACUUGACUUGUUGUGAAGUUCCUCCUUAUCCUUGAGUGACAUCUCAUGAGCAACAAUUCUUCCAAUGACUUCCGUUGGCUUGAGAUUCUUGUAAUUGGGCAUCAUUUGGAUCAAUGUGCACACGGUAUCAUAUUUUCCAUCCAAUGCUCUUAGGAUCUUCUUGAUGAUGAAUUUGUCGGUCAUCUCUUCACUUCCUAAGCCCGCAAUCUCAUUUGUGAUAAGAGCAAGCCUAGAGUACAUUUCAGCGAUACCUUCACCAUCCUUCAUUUUAGCGAUAGCUUCUCUCAAGUUGACUUUGGAGCACUCCAACUUGGAUUCCUUGACGGAGUCAGUACCUUCAUGCAUAUCAAUCAAAGUAUCCCAAAUUUCCUUUGCAUUCUCAAGGCGGCUGAUUUUGUUGAAUUCUUCAGGGCACAAUCCAUUGAAGAGGAUAUCACAAGCUUGAGCGUUGUAUUGCAGCAUCUUCAAUUCUUCCGCGCUAGCUUCACGGUUUGGUUCCCUCCCAUCAAAGAAUUCACCAUGCAAGCCAAUACACGCAAUAGCCCAAACGGCGGGGUUAUGUCCGAGAAUAUGCAUUUUCAUCUUAUGCUUCCAACUAGCAAAAUUAGUACCAUCAAAGUAAGGACCUCUACGGUGAUAAUUUCCCUCGCUAGACGCCAUACUCUCCUAGGUUGUGAAACCAAGGCUAUGACCACCAAAAGCUAUGGAAAUCAAAGCAAAUGGAGACCAAGGAUCUAAUACCACUUGUAGGAUCAGAAGUAUGUCUAGAGGGGGGGUGAUUAGAUUACUUGACCAAUUAAAAACUUAACCUUUUCCCAAUUUUAGUCUUUGGCAGAUUUUAGCUAUCUUAGCACAAGUCAAGCAAUCUUCACACAAUUCAAACAAGCAUGCAAAGAGUAUAUGAGCAGCGGAAAGUAAAGCAUGCAACUUGCAAGAAUGUAAGGGGAAGGGUUUGGAGAUUUCAAACGCAAUUUGGAGACACGGUGAUUUUUGAGCCGUGGUUCCGAUAGGUGGUGCUAUCGUACAUCCACGUUGAUGGAGACUUCAACCCAUGAAGGGUAACGGUUGCGCGAGUCCACGGAGGGCUCCACCCAAGACGGGUCCACGAAGAAGCAGCCUUGUCUAUCCCACCAUGGCGGUCGCCCACGAAGGACUUGCCUCACUAGCGGUAGAUCUUCACGAAGUAGGCGAUCUCCUUGCCCUUACAAACUCCUUGGUUCAACUCCACAAUCUUGUCGGAGGCUCCCAAGUGACACCUAGCCAAUCUAGGAGACACCACUCUCCAAGAAGUAACAAAUGGUGUGUUGAUGAUGAACUCCUUGCUCUUGUGCUUCAAAUGAUAGUCUCCCCAACACUCAACUCUCUCUCACAAGAUUUGGAUCUGGUGGAAAGAAGAUUUGAGUGGAAAGCAACUUGGGGAAGGCUAGAGAUCAAGAUUCAUAUGGUAGGAAUGGAAUAUCUUGGCCUCAACACAUGAGUAGGUGAUUCUCUCUCAGAAAUGGUAAGUUGGAAGUGUAGGUUUGUUCUGAUGGCUCUCUCCACGAAUGAAGAGGAGGUGGAGGGGUAUAUAUAGCCUCCACACAAAAUCUAACCGUUACACACAAUUUACCAAUCUCGGUGGGACCGAAUCAACAAACUCGGUCAGACCGAUUUAGUAAACCUAGUGACCGUUAGUGAUUUCGGUGGGACCGACAUGCAACUUGGUAGGACCGAUGUGGUUAGGGUUAGGGCAUAACGUAAUCUCUGUGAGACCGAUUACACAUACUCGGUGAGACCGAUUUUGGUAAUAAGCUAACCAAAGAGUUGGUUAGGUAAACUCGGUGGGACCGAUUCACUCUUUUCGGUUGGACCAAACAUUACGAAGAGGAAAUAGAGAGUUUACAUUGCAAUCUCGGUGGGACCGAUCACUCACUUCGGUUAGACCGAAACGUUACGAAGGGAAACAAAGAGAUUACAAUCCCAUCUCGGUGAGACCGAGAUCCCUAUCGGUGAGACCAAUUUGCCUAGGGUUUGUGGCAGUGGCUAUGACAUCCGAACUCGGUGGCGCCGGAUAGAAAGAAUCGGUGGGGCCGAGUUUGACUUUAGGUUUAGGUCAUAUGUGGAUAUGAGAAAGUAGUUGAGGGUUUUUGGAGCAUAUCACUAAGCACUUGAAGCAAGAAGCUCAUUAAGCAACACCUCAUCCCUCCUUGCUAGUAUUGGCUUUUCCUAUAGACUCAAUGUGAUCUUGGAUCACUGAAAUAUAAAAUGUAGAGUCUUGAGCUUUUGAGCUUGAGCCAAUCCUUUUAUCCUUAGAAUUUUGAGGGAUCCACUUUCCUCAUCCAUUCCAUGCCAUUCAUUGAGCUUUUCCUGAAAUGUUUGUCUUGGAAUGAUGUUAGCUCAAUGAGCUAUAUGUUGUUUGGAAUUACCAAAACCACCUAGGGAUAGUUGUACUUUCACUUGUGCAAGCGGUAGUGGCCAGUAACUCGAACACUAAACCAAGACAGGACUUUGGGGUUGUCUCACUGUCUUCAAGAUAGUCUUCCUUAGGUGUUUUGUCAGCUUUGUUGGAGACCAACAAGGAUGUAUCACUAUCCUGAACCUUAUCUGCACUACUUCCUUUACCAUUUCUUAAUAAGGCACUCUUCCCCAAUAUUCUAUCAGCAUUUUAAAAGAAGGAACAAGUAGACACAUAACAAGUUUAGCAUGUACUAGUAUAUGAAACUCAUUCGGUGAACCAGUUCAUUAGUAAGGUGGACAGUAUUAAACUACCAAGUCUUCUAUUGCCAAGUACUAGUACAUAAUAAAAGCAUUAAACAAACAUAUAUCUAUGUCCUAUGGUCACUGCAUUGUCUUCCAAAUCAAAAUAGAGACAUGGUUCAAAUCAUAUCAGUUCAAGACAAAGCAGCAGUGAAAGAAUACAAACCGUGGGAAACUACACGGCACAACAAGAUUUCAGAUGGGUACCACGGGUCUACAUGUACAACAACACUAUUGGCUCUGUUGUGAUGCUAGUAAUGUGCAUGAUAUGAGAAGUCAAUUGUAUACACAAUUGAAAUUGAAAUCAACAGAGCUAUUGAUAAGAGCAAACCUGUUAAAGAAACAUGUGUGAACAUACCUGUUGUGCCAUUGGAGUUUCGAUUGGAUUCUUCAAUUUUGUAUGAGUACAUACAGUGAUACAAGAGCAAAGCAGUAUGCACGAAAGCAAUCAUAGUUAAAAAAGGCGCGCCUAAGCGAGCGCUUAAGCGCGCCCAGGCUCUAGGUGUUGGCAAAACGCAUUGCGCAUAACUACGCUUAAUCUGUGCAUAACUGCGCAUAAGCAUGCGCUUUGGUCAGUAAAGCGCAAGGCGGUGGCAAAAUGCACAAUUAACGCCUAGCGCUUUUUUGAACUAUGAUAGCAAUGGAAUCUUAAAUUAGACCAGUUGUUCUUCAGGUUUAGGCACUUGUUCUACAUGAACAGAGUACAGUAAGAUGCAAGAAUAUAGUACUUAAAAAUAGAAAAUGAGCUCGUAGACCUUACCACAUUCUUGGUUCGGGACCAGUACAGAACAAGGCGUUCCCAGUCAUCGUCCAGUAAAUGUGUCUCAGGAGAACGUAAGUGAAUUUGAUGAGUUUCUUUGCAUGUGAAGGACGUUUUCUUCAGGUAAUUUCGAUACUGCCACCAAGCAUUCUUGAAGAUAGCAGAGGUAUUAGCACAGGUUACCUCAUCCUGAGUUUCCAAAUCGGUCCUUCUCUAUAGAGAAAAAUGGGAAAAUUUGUUGUAUUAUAACCAUCAUGGAGGUAGGAUGUAUGGGACAAAGCAAAAUAAUUGCCAUGAAUAACAUUACUUACACAUAACUCCUGGACAAACACCUGCAACUGGCAUUUUCCUUCAUCUUCAGUAUAAUAUUUCCAAGAUGGGAAGAUACGCACAUACGAUUUAACAACAUCAAAUGCAAUAGAUGCUAAACUACGACUAGCUGGUUGUGCUUCCUCCACAUGAAUAGGCGUACUAACUGGUGGAGUUGGAGUUCGCCAUGGUAGUACUGGCCCUUUGGGCACUGGAGCUGCCUUACUAACUGCUCUUGUUUGGAAGCUCUGUGGUGGAGAUGGUGUUGUGUCAACAGGAACUGGGUUACUAUCUGCUGGGGUUGGGGUUAGAUUGGGUGAAGCUAGUUCUCUGUCCAUCGCAGUAGGGCUACAAUCUGUGAGAGUUUGGGUUAUGUGUGGUAGGGCUGGUUCUCUUGCAUGUACAACCGGGGUGCUAUCUCCACCAAGAGGUAGCACUGUUUUAUUUGAAGACCGUGUUUUUAGUCCGCUAGAUACUGGCAUCACCGCUCCAAUUCAAAUGGCUGAUAAACAGGAAACAUAGUUGAAUGUAUAGACAUUGUAUGAGAGACAGAUGCAAUAGAUAGUGUGGAAAAAAGAGGGCAUGAAAUUGUUGACAUGUAUAUUUUUUAACUAAAAUGGAUAGCAUGACAUAAUUUCACAUAUAUGAUGUCUAUCUAAACUGGAUAGCAUAACAUAACAUAAUUCAAAGAUAUGAUGAAUAACUAAACAAGAUCGCAUGACAUAAUUCACCUACAUGUUAUCUAAGUAAUUAGGAUUGCAUCAUUUAAUUCACAUAUGUGAUUUAUAUGCUAAACAGAGGGCAUUCGAUAUGAUGUCUGUACUAAGAACAUGGUGUUGAAUAUUGUGUAUAUGAUGUCUAAACUAUGCAAUGCAAGACACCAUAUGCAUGAUAUGAGCAGCAUAACCAUGCCAAGUUAGAGCAUACACCUCGGUGGGGGAAUAGGACUGGUCAUCUGUCUCUGAAUCCAUCUAUGAGGAGCUAUCGGGACCCAACAAGAGAUCUGCUUCGACAGGUAGCACUGCCUGCUCUGAAGGCCUUGUUUUCACUCCAGAUUUUUUCAUCUCCCACCCAAAUGGCUAAUUCACAGGAAGAGUAGUUUAAUGUACAAACAUUGUCGACAAAUGGAAAUGUAAUGAAGAAAAGGAUGGGCAAGAUAUCAUUCAAAUAUAUGAUGCCUGGUUAAACAGGAUGGCAUUGCACAUUUCACAUAUAUUAUGGCUGGCUAAAAGACAUGGGACUGCAUAAUUCCCAUAUAUGAUAUAGAAACUAAAUAGGUGGCAUUACAGAACAUGUUUAAACUAAGCAGAUGACAUAUAUGAUGUCAAAAGUAGGCACUGCAAGGCAACAUAUGCAUGAUAUGACUAACAUCAUCAUGCCAAGGUAGAGCAAACACCUUGGGGGUAAAUAGGAGUGGUCAGCAGCGUCUGAAUCCGCCUCAGAACAGAUAUCUUCCUCUGGAUUACAAUCUGGAGAGGGGUGGGGAGGGUUUGCCAUUGAACCCACCGUGGAGCGAUGUCUGCAUGAUAUUGUAUUGCCGCACAAAACUCUUCUUUUUUUCUCUACAUGUUCAGCAUGACUGUGUACAAUAUCUAACAUGCAUACAAAAAAUAUAUUAUGAGAUUAUGUAAGGAGAGCAUGCAGAAAUUUAGAGUGAUGGUAACAACCAGUGGAUGGAUCCAAAAAUAAUGAUAGCAGGCUGAUGAUUUCUUUAAUUUAAUAAAAAGACAGAUGAUGGUUGCUUUACUAUUUGUUUCCCACCCAAGAUGAACAACAUAGGCAUACCCUAGAUGAACAAGAUAUUAGAAUGUUAUUCUGCCACUAAUGCACUUGGUCUUCAUGCAUAGGAUUUUGAAAAGUAGGUCCAGGUGGAUGUUUUGCUUCAUUCCUUUCAACAAAAUGCAUGAAUAAUUGAAUAGUAGAGUGCCAUUGGAAAAUUCCCUAUUGCUAUGUUUUUCCGUUGAACCAAAAUAGCCCUAAUGGAUCGACAUGAAUGUAUAGUAAUAAGUGAUGCAACAAGUGUACAACCUCUUUGCCCUAGCCAUGUCGACCUCAACAUCAUUGGGUUGGUCGCUGAAGCAGUUGAGGUAGAGGUGGCUGUCGGAGGUGUGGAGGAAGAUCUGAGGAAUCUGUAGACGGCAUCCAGGGCACUGCUCUGUUGUGAUGGACCAUUCUGUCGUUGGAGCGGCUCCGGUGAGGUGUAAGACGUCAAGGCUGAAGCAGCACAAGACAUACAUCGUCAAUCUCAAGUGGGAUUCUAAUAGCAUCUCCAAUAGAUGAUGUAAAAUAGAUGUAAAAUUUACAUCACCAAAAACCACCUGACUACAACAGAUGAGGUAAAAACUGUUGAAUCUGGACUUAACUGCCGAAACUGAAAUUUAUUGUGGAAUCUGAAUGUUACUGUCGAAACUGAACGCAAUGGUAGCAGAGAGGCACUUGACAUGUAGUUUAGGGAGGGCCUGUAGUUCAUCUUCAACAUGCACCCCCGGAGCCGCCAGCCACCACCGGCUGAACCACCAGCCCCAGCGCCGCCUUGCCGCCCUAAAACAACUCCCCACCACCGGUCUGCCGCCGCCCCGGCCAGCCCUCUAGGCCCCCCGCCCCCACCCUGAACCCUAAUAUAGAUAGUGGGGUACCACUCCGGCGAGCCCCUGUCCCUGCUGCGGGUGGUUCUUCCUUAACUCCGGCGAGCCCCCCCACCCCCUGAAAAUUGACUGGCUCAAAAGUAGAUUCAGUCCAUCGAAGUGUAGCUAAAUCGGAGUAGAGCAGCAGCACGAGCGAGGGGGAGAGUAGCAGCAGCAGNNNNNNNNNNNNNNNNNNNNNNNNNNNNNNNNNNNNNNNNNNNNNNNNNNNNNNNNNNNNNNNNNNNNNNNNNNNNNNNNNNNNNNNNNNNNNNNNNNNNNNNNNNNNNNNNNNNNNNNNNNNNNNNNNNNNNNNNNNNNNNNNNNNNNNNNNNNNNNNNNNNNNNNNNNNNNNNNNNNNNNNNNNNNNNNNNNNNNNNNNNNNNNNNNNNNNNNNNNNNNNNNNNNNNNNNNNNNNNNNNNNNNNNNNNNNNNNNNNNNNNNNNNNNNNNNNNNNNNNNNNNNNNNNNNNNNNNNNNNNNNNNNNNNNNNNNNNNNNNNNNNNNNNNNNNNNNNNNNNNNNNNNNNNNNNNNNNNNNNNNNCUCCCUCCGGCCGGGUGUCAAAACAGGGUCCCGAUUUGGUUUUCAUGGCUAAAAAGGCUUGCGGCGGUGGAACUUCUCAUCUAGGGUUCUUUUCGGAGGUUACUAUAUAUACGGGUACUUUGCGUUGGAAUCAAGUCAGGGGGGGGGGGGGCCAAGGGCCCCACAAGCUCGGGAGGUGCGCCCCCAAGCUUGUGGCCCCCUCAGUCAUCUCCUGGUCCAGCUCCGGUGCUCCGUGGGUCUCUUCUGGUCCAUCAACGAUCACCGUAAAUUUUUCAGCCCAUUUCAAGAACUUUUAUUUCUGCACAGAAAACAACACCACGGUAGUUCUGCUGAAAACAGCGUCAACCCGGGUUAGGUCUAUUUAAAUCAUACCAAAACCAUAUAAAAUUGUUGUAAACAUGGCAUGGAUACUUCAUAAAUUAUAGAUACGUUGGAGACGUAUCACCGGGGCACUAGCUCCGGGUACCCCAAAGAUCCAGGGACCCAGGGCACCCAUACACGGCUAAGACAGAGGCAAACCUCUCUGGUGCCUCAUGGUACCCGAACCACAAGGGACUCGGGCACCCAAUCCUCUAUGUGGGGUGAGGGAGUCCUGGAUUAGGGGGUAUCCGGAUAGCCGGACUAUGUACAUCGUCCGGACUAUUGAAGCAUGAAGAUACAAGACUCAAGACUUCGGCCCAUGUCCGGAUGGGACUCUCCUUUGCGUGGAAGACAAGCUUGGCGAUUAGGAUAUUAUGUUUCCUUCCUUGUAACCGACUCAUGUAAACCCUAGCCUUCUCCGUGUCUAUAUAAACCGGAGAGGAUGGUCCUUAGAAGGCCGAUCACAAUCACAAUCAUACCAUCAUAGGCUAGCUCUUAGGGUUUAGCCUCUACGAUCUCGUAGUAGAUCUACUCUUGUACUACUCAUAUAUUCAAUAUUAAUCAAGCAGGAAGUAGGGUUUUACCUCCAUCGAGAGGGCCCGAACCUGGGUAAACAUUGUGUCCCUUGCUUCCUGUUACCAUCAGCCUAAGACGCACAGAUCGGGACCCCCUACCCGAGAUCCACCGGUUUUGACACCGACAUUGGUGCUUUCAUUGCGAGUUCCUCUGUGCCAUCGCUUCAAGGCUUGAUGGCGUCUUCAAUCGUCAACAACACGGUCCAGGGUGAGACUUUUCUCCCCGGACAGAUCUUUGUGUUCGGCGGCUUCGCGCUGCGGGCCAAUUCGCUUGGCCAUCUGGAGCAGAUCGACAUCUACGCCCCUGGCCACCAGAUUAGGUUCGAAAACUUGAACUACACGACGGAUGUUCGCAGAGAUUUGAUCUUUGACGGAUUCGGCCCUAUGCCAGGAGCGUCGGACAGUCACGGCGAGCACGGCCUAGACCUGUUGUCGGACAAUGCUCAGGACAUCAUCCCUACAGCAACCCCGGAUCUAAAUCCGGAGCAGAUUGUGUUGCCCAAGGACGGAGGGGUGGACCCCGCCCCGCAGGCCGCACACUCAUCGGCGGUGGAGCCAAACACAGGUCUCAUCUCUGUGGAGGCCUGUAACCCCGGACCCUCGGACUCGUAUUCGGCUGUUGGUUCCGGUCCACAUACCCUCGAGCCAGCCAAACAAGGUUUGGCUCUGGUAAUGGAGUUUACAGUUGCGGACGUCUUUCAGCGCUCGCCCUUCGGCGACAUGCUGAGCUCAUUAAAGUCUCUCUCUGUGUCAGGAGGCUCCGGGCCGAACUUUGUCCGGCCUGAGUGGGAAGCAGGCGACGAAGGAAUUUGUUGCCCACCCACCACCCACUUCAUUGCCACGAUCGACGAUUUAACCGACGUGCUCAACUUCGAGUCCGAAGAUAUCGACGGUAUGGAUGACGAUGCGGGAGACAUACAGGAUCCACCGCUCAUAAGGCGGUGGAUGCCCACCUGCUCAUACGAUAUAUACAUGGUGGACACUCCGAAGGAAACUAAUGGCGACGAGGCAACGGAGGAUAACCCCUCAGGGGGAAAAUGUUGGGGAACGUUGCAGAAAAUUAAAAUUUUUCCUACGGUUUCACCAAGAUCCAUCUAUGAGUUCAUCUAAGCAAUGAGUCAUGGGAGAGAGAUUGCAUCUACAUACCACUUUGUAGAUCGCGCGGAAGCGUUCAAAAGAACGGGGUUGAAGUAGUCGUUCUCGUCGUGAUCCUAUCACCGGAGAUCCUAGCGCCGAACGGACGGCACCUCCGCGUUCAACACACGUACAGUCAGCGUGACGUCUCCUCCGUCUUGAUCCAGCAAGGGGGAAGGAGAGGUUGAUGAUGAAAGCUCCAGCAACAGCACAACGGCGUGGUGGUGGUGGAACAGCAGCACUCCGACAGGGCUUUGCCAAGCAUGUGACGGAGGAGGAAGAGGUGUAGCAGGGGGAGGGAGGCGCCAGAACUGCAGGGUGCGGCUGCCCCCCUCCCCCCUCCCUUUAUAUAGGCCCCCAGGGGGGGCGCCAGCCCUGGGAGAUCCAAUCUCCCAAGGGGCGGCGGCCAAGGGGGUGGAGUACCCCCCAAGCCAAGUGGGGCGCCCCCACCCUAGGGUUUCAACCCUAGGCGCAGGGGGUGGACCAAGGGGGGCGCACCAGCCCACUAAGGGCUGGUUCCCCUCCCCACUUUGGCCCUUGGGGCCCUCCGGGAUGGGUGGCCCCACCCGGUGGACCCCCGGGACCCUUCCGGUGGUCCCGGUACAAUACUGGGUGACCCCGAAACUUUCCCGAUGGCCGAAAUAUCACUUCCUAUAUAUAAUUCUUCACCUCCGGACCAUUCCGGAACUCCUCGUGACAUUCGGUAUCUCAUCCGGGACUCCGAACAACAUUCGGUAUGCUGCAUACUCAUAUUCAUACAACCCUAGCGUCACCGAACCUUAAGUGUGUAGACCCUACGGGUUCGGGAGACACGUAGACAUGACCGAGACGGCUCUCGGGCAAUAACCAACAGCGGGAUCUGGAUAACCAUGUUGGUUCCCACAUGCUCCUCGAUGAUCUCAUCGAAUGAACCACGAUGUCGAGGACUCGAACAACCCCGUAUACAACUCCCUUUGUCAAUCGGUACGUUACAUGCCCGAGACUCGAUCGUCGGUAUCCCAAUACCUCGUUCAGUCUCAUUACCGGCAAGUCACUCUACUUGUACCAUAAUGCAUGAUCCCGUGACCAAACACUUGGUGACUUUGAGCUCAUUAUGAUGAUGCAUUACCGAGUGGGCCCAGAGAUACCUCUCCGUCAUACGGAGUGACAAAUCCCAGUCUCGAUCCGUGUCAACCCAACAGACACUUUUGGAGAUACCUGUAGUGCACCUUUAUAGUCACCCAAUUACGUUGUGACGUUUGGUACACCCAAAGCACUCUUACGGUAUCCGGGAGUUACACGAUCUCAUGGUCUAAGGAAGAGAUACUUGACAUUGAAAAAGCUCUAGCAAAACAAACUACACGAUCUUGUGCUAUGCUUAGGAUUGGGUCUUGUCCAUCACAUCAUUCUCCUAAUGAUGUGAUCCCGUUGUCAAUGACAUCUAAUGUCCAUAGUCAAGAAACCAUGACUAUCUGUUGACCAACGAGCUAGUCAACUAGAGGCUCACUAGGGACAUGUUAUGGUCUAUGUAUUCACACGUGUAUUACGAUUUCCGGAUAAUACAGUUAUAGCAUGAAUAAAAGACAAUUAUCAUGAAUGAGGAAAUAUAAUAAUAACCCUUUUAUUAUUGCCUCUAGGGCAUAUUUCCAACAGAAAAGCUAGGCAUGGACGCCUCCAGCGCCGUUCCAAGCCCCGCCACAUCAAUAGCGGCCCCGGAGAUGAAAGCAAUCCAGAUAGUGCCGAAGAGGAAUACAUCCCUGAUCAGCCUACCUUCAAGCAGGCCGGACAUGCCGCAGUGGGAUACUUGGAGAGGGACAACUAUACACCCCCCUCCGAAGACGAGGUAAGUGUUGGGGGAACGUAGCAGAAAUUCAAAAUUUUCCUACGAGUCACCAAGAUCUAUCUAUGGAGAGACUAGCAACGAGGGGAAGGAGAGUGCAUCUACAUACCCUUGUAGAUCACUAAGCGGAAGCGUUCAAGAGAACGGCGUUGAAGGAGUCGUACUCGUCGUGAUCCAAAUCACCAGAGAUCCUAGUGCCGAACGGACGGCACCUCCGCGUUCAACACACGUACAACUCGAUGACGUCUCCCAUGCCUUGAUCCAGCAAGGAGAGAGGGAGAGGUUGAGGAAGACUCCAUACAGCAGCAGCACAACGGCGUGGUGGUGAUGGAGGAGCGUGGUAAUCCAGUAGGGCUUCACCAAGCACCGCGAGAGACAAGGAGAAAGAGAGGUAGGGCUGCGCCAGGGAGAGGUGGAAACUCUUGUCUCUGGCAGCCCCAAAACCUCAAGUAUAUAUAGGGGAGAGAGAGGGGGCUGCGCCCCCUCUAGGGUUCCCACCCCUAGGGGUGCGGCAGCCCAAAACCUAUCUAGGGUGGCGGCCAGGGGGGGAGAGGGGGAAACUUGCCCCCCAAGCAAGGUGGGGCGCCCCCUCCCCAAAACCCUAGGCGCCUUGGGCCCUUGUGGGGGGGCGCACCAGCCCACCUGGGGCUGGUCCCCUCCCACACUUGGCCCACGCAGCCCUCUGGGGCCGGUGGCCCCACCUGGUGGACCCCCGGGACCCUCCCGAUGGUCCCGGUACGUUACCGAUGACACCCGAAACUUUUCCGGUGACCAAAACAGGACUUCCCAUAUAUAAAUCUUUCCAUCCGAAUCAUUCCGGAACUCCUCGUGAUGUACGGGAUCUCAUCCGGGACUCCGAACAACAUUCGGUAACCACGUAUAUCUAUUCCCUAUAACCCUAGCGUCAACGAACCUUAAGUGUGUAGACCCUACGGGUCCGGGAACCAUGCAGACAUGAACGAGACGUUCUCCGGUCAAUAACCAACAGCGGGAUCUAGAUACCCAUGUUGGCUCCCACAUGUUCCACGAUGAUCUCAUCGGAUGAACCACGAUGUCAAGGACUCAAUCAAUCCCGUAUACAAUUCCCUUUGUCUAGCGGUAUUGUACUUGCCCGAGAUUCGAUCAUCGGUAUCCCGAUACCUUGUUCAAUCUCGUUACCGGCAAGUCUCUUUACUCGUUCCGUAACACAUCAUCCCGUGAUCAACCCCUUGGUCACAUUGUGCACAUUAUGAUGAUGUCCUACCGAGUGGGCCCAGAGAUACCUCUCCGUUACACGGAGUGACAAAUCCUAGUCUUGAUUCGUGCCAACCCAACAGACACUUUCGGAGAUACCCGUAGUGCACCUUCAUAGCCACCGAGUUAUGUUGUGACGUUUGGUACACCCAAAGCAUUCCUACAGUAUCCGAGAGUUGCACAAUCUCAUGGUCUAAGGAAAUGAUACUUGACAUUAGAAAAGCUCCAGCAUACGAACUACACGAUCUUUGUGAUAGGCUUAGGAUUGGGUCUUGUCCAUCACAUCAUUCUCCUAAUGAUGUGAUCCCGUUAUCAACAACAUCCAAUGUCCAUGGUCAGGAAACCAUAACCAUCUAUUGAUCAACGAGCUAGUCAACUAGAGGCUUACUAGGGACAUGGUGUUGUCUAUGUACCCACACAUGUAUCUGAGUUCCCUAUCAAUACAAUUAUAACAUGGAUAAUAAACGAUUAUCAUGAACAAGGAAAUAUAAUAAUAAUAACUAAUUUAUUAUUGCCUCUAGGGCAUAUUUCCAACAGUCUCCCACUUGCACUAGAGUCAAUAGUCUAUUUCACAUCGCCAUAUGAUUAACAUUGAAAGGUCACAUCGCCAUGUGACCAACAUCCAAAGAGUUUACUAGUGUCACUAAACUAGUUCACAUCGCCAUGCGAUUAAGACUCAAUGAGUUCUGGGGUUUGAUCAUGUUUUGCUUGUGAGAGAGGUUUUAGUCAACGGGUCUGCAACAUUCAGAUCCAUAUGUAUUUUGCAAUUCUCUAUGUCAUAUUGUAAAUGCUGCCUCCACGCUCCGCUUGGAGCUAUUCCAAAUGGUUGCUCCACUAUACGUAUCCGGUUUGCUACUCAUCGGAUAGGUGUUAAAGCUUGCAUCGACGUAACCCUUUACGCCGAACUCUUUAUCACCUCCAUAAUCGAGAAACAUGUCCUUAUUUACUCCAAGGACAAUUUUGACCGCUGUCCAAUGAUCCAUUCCUGGAUCAUUCUUGUACCCCUUGACUGACUCAUGGCAAGGCACAUUUCCAGUGCGGUACACAGCAUAUAUUACUAUAGAGCCUACGUCUGAAGCAUAGGGGACGACCUUCGUCCUUUCUCUCUCUUCUACCGUGGUCGAGCUUUAACUCUUAACUUCAUACCUUACAACUCAGGCAAGAACUCCUUCUUUGACUGAUCCAUCUUGAACACCUUCAAGAUCAUGUCAAGGUAUGUGCUCAUUUGAAAGUACCAUUUAGCGUUUUUGAUCUGAUCUUGAUGCUCAAUGUUUAAGCAGCUUAUUCCAGGUUUUCUAUUGAAAAACACCUUUCAAACAACCCUAUAUGCUUUCCAGAAAUUUUACAUUAUUUCUGAUCAACAAUAUGUCAACAACAUAUACUUAUCAGAAAUUCUAUAGUGCUCCCACUCACUUCUUUGGAAAUACAAAUUUCUCAUAAACUUUGUAUAAACCCAAAAUCUUUGAUCAUCUCAUCAAAGCGUACAUUCCAACUCCGAGAUGCUUACUCCAGUCCUUAGAAGGAUCUCUGGAGCUAGCAUACCUCUUAGCAUCCUUAGGAUCGACAAACCUUUCUGAUUGUAUCGCAUACAACCUUUCCUUAUGAAAACUGGUAAGGAAACUCGUUUUGACAUCCAUUUGGAAGAUUUCAAAAAUGUAGCUAAUGCUAACAUGAUUCCGACGGACUUAAGCAUCGCUAUGGAUGAGAAAAUCUCAUCGUAGUCAACUUCCUUGAACUUGUGAAAAACUCUUCGCCACAAGUCGAGCUUCACAGACGGUGACAUUACCAUCCACGUCCGUCUUCUUCUUAAAGAUCCAUUUAUCUCAAUGGCUUGCCGAUCAUCGGGCAAGUCCACCAAAGUCCAUGCUUUGUUCUGAUACAUGGAUCCUAUCUCGGAUUUCUAACCGUUUGUCAGAAUAUGGGUCCACCAUUGCUUCUCCAUAGCUCGUAGGUUCAUUUUGUAUGGCAACAUGACCUUCAAGACAGGAUUACUGUACCACUCUGAAGUAGUACACAUCCUUGACACCCUACGAGGUACGGCAGUGACUUGAUCCGAAACUUCAUGAUCACUAUCAUAAGCUUCUACAUCAAUUGGUGUAGGCGCCACAGGAACAACUUCCUGUGCCCUGCUACACACUAGUUGAAGUGAUGGUUCAAUAACCUCAUCAAGUCUCCACCAUCCUCCCACUCAAUUCUUUCGAGACAAACUUUUCCUCGAGAAAGGAUAUGAUUCAAGAAACAAUCCCUAUUGCUUUCGGAUCUGAAUUAGGAGGUAUACCCAACUGUUUUUGGGUGUCCUAUGAAGAUGCAUUUUAUCCGCUUUGGGUUCGAGCUUAUCACGAUGAAACUUUUCAUAUAAGCAUCGCAGCCCCAAACUUUCAAGAAACGACAACUUAGGUUUCUCCAAAUCAUAGUUCAAACGGUGUCAUCUCAACGGAAUUACGUGGUGCCCUAUUAAAGUGAGUGCGGUUGUCUCUAAUGCCUAACCCAUGAACGAUAGUGGUAAUUCAAUAAGAGACAUCAUGGUACGCACCAUAUAUAUCCAAUAGGGUGCAACUAUGAUGUUCGGACACACCAUCACACUAUGGUGUUCCAGGCGGUAUUAAUUGUGAAACAAUUUCCACAAUGUCUUAAUUGCGUGCCAAAGCUCGUAACUCAGAUACUCAUCUCUAUGAUCAUAUCAUAGACAUUUUAUCCUCUUGUCACGAUGACCUUCAACUUCACUCUAAAAUUACUUGAACCAUUCAAUAAUUCAGACUUGUGUUUCAUCAAGUAAAUAUACUCAGUAUCUACUCAAAUCAUCCGUGAAGUAAGAACAUAACGAUAUCCACUGCGUGCCUCAGCACUCAUUGGACUGCACACAUCAAAAUGUAUUACUUCCAACAAGUUGCUUUCUUGUUCCAUUUUACUGAAAACAAGGCUUUCAGUCAUCUUGCCCAUGUGGUAUGAUUUACAUGUCUCAAGUGAUUCAAAAUCAAGUGAGUCCAAACGAUCCAUCUACAUGGAGUUUCUUCAUGCGUACAUACCAAUAGACAUGGUUCGCAUGUCUCAAACUUUUCAAAAACGAGUGAGUCCAAAGAUCCAUCAACAUGGAGCUUCUUCAUGCAUUUAUACCAAUAUGACUUACAUGGUAGUGCCACAAGUAGGUGGUACUAUCAUUACUAUCUUAUAUCUUUUGGCAUGAACAUGUGUAUCACUACGAUCGAGAUUCAAUAAACCAUUCCUUUAGGUGCAAGACCAUUGAAGGUAUUAUUCAAAUAAAUAGAGUAACCAUUAUUCUCCUUAAAUGAAUAACCAUAUUGCGAUAGACAUAAUCCAAUCAUGUCUAUGCUCAACGCAAACACCAAAUAACAAUUAUUCAGAUUUAACACCAAUCUCGAUGGUAGAGGGAGCGUGCGAUGCUUGAUCACAUCAACCUUGGAAACACUUCCAACACAUAUCGUCAGCUCACCUUCAGCUAGUCUCCGUUUAUUCCGUAGCUUUUAUUUCGAGUUACUAACACUUAGCAACCGAACCGGUAUCUAAUACCCUGGUGCUACUAGGAGUACUAGUAAAGUACACAUUAACAUAAUAUAUAUCCAAUAUACUUUUAUUGACCUUGCCAGCCUUCUCAUCUACCAAUUAUCUAGGGUAAUUCUGCUCCAGUGGCUGUUCCCCUCAUUACAGAAGCACUUAGUGUCGGGUUUGGGUUCAACCUUGGGUUUUCACUAGAGCAACAACUGUUUUGCCGUUUCAUGAAGUAUCCCUUCUUGCCCUUGCCCUUCUUGAAACUAGUGGUUUUACUAACCAUCAACAAUUGAUGCUCCUACUUGACUUCUAUUUUCGCGGUGUCAAACAUCACGAAUACUUCAAGUAUCAUCAUAUCUAUCCCUGAUAUGUUAUAGUUCAUCAUGAAGCUCUAGCAGCUUGGUGGCAAUCACUUUGGAGAAACAUCACUAUCUCAUCUGGAAGAUCAACUCCCACUCGAUUAAAGUGAUUGUUGUACUCAGACAAUCUGAGCACAAGCUCAACGAUUGAGCUUUUUCUCCCUUAGUUUGGAGGCUAAGAAAAUUGUCGGAGGUCUUAUACCUCUUGACGUGGGCACGAGCCUGAAAUCCCAAUUUCAGCCCUCGAAACAUCUCAUAUGUUCCGCGACAUUUCGAAAACGUCUUUGGUGCCUCUACUCUAAACCAUUUAACUGAACUAUCACAUAGUUAUCAAAACGUGCAUGUCAGAUGUUCGCAACAUCCACAGACUACGUUCGAGGUCCAGCACACCAAGCGGUGCAUUAAGGACAUAAGCCUUCUACGAAGCAACGAGGACAAUCCUCAGUUCACAGACCCAGUCCGCAUAAUUGCUACUAUCAACUUUCAACUAUAUUUUUUCUAGGAAUGCAUCUAAAACUAAAGCGCGAGUUAUGACAUAAUCUGCAAAGAUCCUUUUUGACUAUGUUCAGGAUAAUUAAGUUCAUCUAAUGAACUCCCACUCAGAUAGACAUCCCUCUAGUUAUCUAAGUGAUUACAUGAUCCGAGUCAACUAGGCCGUGUCCGAUCAUCAUGUGAGACAGACUAGUUAUCAUCGGUGAACAUCUUCAUGUUGAUCGUAUCUACUAUACGACUCAUGCUUGACCUUUCGGUCUCUUGUGUUCCGAGGCCAUGUCUGUACAUGCUAGGCUCGUCAAGUCAACCUAAGUGUUUCGUGUGUGUAAAUCUGGCUUACACCUGUUGUAUGGGAACGUUAGAAUCUAUCACACCCGAUCAUCACGUGGUGCUUCGAAACAACGAACUUUCGCAACGGUGCAUAGUUAGGGGGAACACUUUCUUGAAAUUUUAAUGAGGGAUCAUCUUAUUUACUACCGUCGUUCUAAGCAAAUAAGAUGCAUAAACAUGAUAAACAUCACAUGCAAUCAAAAAGUGACAUGAUAUGGCCAAUAUCAUUUUGCUCCUUUUGAUCUCCAUCUUCGGGGCUCCAUGAUCAUCAUCAUCACCGGCAUGACACCAUGAUCUCCAUCAUCAUGAUCUCCAUCAUCGUGUCUCCAUGAAGUUGUCUCGCCAACUAUUACUUCUACUACUAUGGCUAACGGUUUAGCAAUAAAGUAAAGUAAUUACAUGGCGUUGUUCAAUGACACGCAGGUCAUACAAUAAAUAAAGACAACUCCUAUGGCUCCUGCCGGUUGUCAUACUCAUCGACAUGCAAGUCGUGAUUCCUAUUACAAGAACAUGAUCAAUCUCAUACAUCACAUAUCAUUCAUCACAUUCCUUUUUGGCCAUAUCACAUCACAUAGCAUACCUUGCAAAAACAAGUUAGACGUCCUCUAAUUGUUGUUUGCAUGUUUUAUGUGGCUGCUAUGGGUUUCUAGCAAGAACAUUUCUUACCUACGCAAAAACCACAACGUGAUAUGCCAAUUGCUAUUUACCCUUCAUAAGGACCCUUUUCAUCGAAUCCGAUCCGACUAAAGUGGGAGAGACUGGCACCCGCUAGCCACCUUAUGCAACAAGUGCAUGUCAGUCGGUGGAACCUGUCUCACGUAAGAGUAUGUGUAAGGUCGGUCUGGGCCGCUUCAUCCCACGAUGCCACCGAAUCAAGAUAAGACUAGUAACGGUAAGCAUAUUGAACAAAAUCAACACCCACAACUACUUUGUGUUCUACUCGUGCAUAGAAUCUACGCAAUAAACCUGGCUCAUGAUGCCAAUGUUGGGGAACGCAGCAGAAAUUCAAAAUUUUCCUACGAGUCACCAAGAUCUAUCUAUGGAGAGACUAGCAACGAGGGGAAGGAGAGUGCAUCUACAUACCCUUGUAGAUCGCUAAGCAGAAGCGUUCAAGAGAACGGGGUUGAAGGAGUCGUACUCGUUGUGAUCCCAAUCACCGGAGAUCCUAGUGCCGAACGGACGGCACCUCUGCGUUCAACACACGUACAGCCCGGUGACGUCUCCCAUGCCUUGAUCCAGCAAGGAGAGAGGGAGAGGUUGAGGAAGACUCCAUCCAGCAGCAGCACAACGGCGUGGUGGUGAUGGAGGAGCAUGGUAAUCCAGCAGGGCUUCGCCAAGCACAGCGAGAGACAAGGAGAAAGAGAGGUAGGGCUGCGCUAGGGAGAGGUGGAAACUCUUGUCUCUGGCAGCCCCAAAACCUCAAGUAUAUAUAGGGGAGAGGGAGGGGGCUGCACCCCCUCUAGGGUUCCCACCCCUAGGGGUGCGGCAGCCCAAAACCCAUCUAGGGUNNNNNNNNNNNNNNNNNNNNNNNNNNNNNNNNNNNNNNNNNNNNNNNNNNNNNNNNNNNNNNNNNNNNNNNNNNNNNNNNNNNNNNNNNNNNNNNNNNNNNNNNNNNNNNNNNNNNNNNNNNNNNNNNNNNNNNNNNNNNNNNNNNNNNNNNNNNNNNNNNNNNNNNNNNNNNNNNNNNNNNNNNNNNNNNNNNNNNNNNNNNNNNNNNNNNNNNNNNNNNNNNNNNNNNNNNNNNNNNNNNNNNNNNNNNNNNNNNNNNNNNNNNNNNNNNNNNNNNNNNNNNNNNNNNNNNNNNNNNNNNAGCCCACCUGGGGCUAGUCCCCUCCCACACUUGGCCCACGCAGCCCUCUAGGGCCGGUGGCCCCACUUGGUGGACCCCCGGGACCCUCCCGGUGGUCCCGGUACGUUACCGAUGACACCCAAAACUUUUCCGGUGACCAAAACAUGACUUCCCAUAUAUAAAUCUUUCCAUCCGGACCAUUCUAGAACUCCUCGUGACGUCCGGGAUCUGAUUUAGGACUCUGAACAUCAUUCGGUAACCACGUAUAUCUAUUCCCUAUAACCCUAGCGUCAUCGAACCUUAAGUGUGUAGACCCUACGGGUUCGGGAACCAUGCAGACAUGACCGAGACGUUCUCCGGUCAAUAACCAACAGUGGGAUCUGGAUACCCAUGUUGGCUUCCACAUGUUCCACGAUGAUCUCAUCGGAUGAACCACGAUGUCGAGGACUCAAUCAAUCCCGUAUACAAUUCCCUUUGUCUAGCAGUAUUGUACUUGCCCGAGAUUCGAUCGUCGGUAUCCCGAUACCUUGUUCAGUCUCGUUACCGGCAAGUCUCUUUACUCGUUCCGUAACACAUCAUCCCGUGAUCAACCCCUUGGUCACAUUGUGCACAUUAUGAUGAUGUCCUACCGAGUGAGCCUAGAGAUACCUCUCCGUUACACGGAGUGACAAAUUCCAGUCUCGAUUCGUGCCAACCCAACAGACACUUUCGGAGAUACCCGUAGUGCACCUUUAUAGCCACCUAGUUACGUUGUGACGUUUGGUACACCCAAAGCAUUCUACGGUAUCCGGGAGUUGCACAAUCUCAUGGUCUAAGGAAAUGAUACUUGACAUUAGAAAAGCUCUAGCAUACAAACUACACGAUCUUUGUGCUAGGCUUAGGAUUGGGUCUUGUCCAUCACAUCAUUCUCCUAAUGAUGUGAUCCCGUUAUCAACGACAUCCAAUGUCCAUGGUCAGGAAACCGUAACCAUCUAUUGAUCAGCGAGCUAGUCAACUAGAGGCUUACUAGGGACAUGGUGUUGUCUAUGUACCCACACAUGUAUCUGAGUUUCCUAUCAAUACAAUUAUAGCAUGGAUAAUAAACAAUUAUCAUGAACAAGGAAAUAUAAUAAUAAUAACUAAUUUAUUAUUGCCUCUAGGGCAUAUUUCCAACAAUAAGCCUAGGUAACGAUGAAUUCAGCGUGCCUGACGAUCCAGUGGAACAAAUUCGCUUCAAGCGACGGCUCAUGGCCACGGCAAGGAGCCUGCAAAGGAAGCAAGAGCAACUUAAAGUUGACCAGGAUUUGCUAACAGAUAGGUGGACUAGGAUCCUGGCCACCAAAAAGUAUGGACUCGACCGCACUAACAAAGGGCAUACGCGACACAAGCGGCUACCUCAACCCAAGCAGGCGAUCCAAAGUCACACCACUACGGUCCAAAACAGUAAGAAGGACAUACGAAGAGGCACCCUCAAGCCUCGGCACAAUGGUCAUAAACGUCAAGUCAGGGGUGAUGGCGUCAAAUCCAGCAACUCCCAGUCCGGUCAAUGGACAAAGAACAGCUCAAUCCUAUUCGGCCCAAGCUGCAAACUCGAUCAGCCGUGCGAAAUUCAUGGUACUCCCAAAAGGAUGGCAAAGCAUACCAAUAGAGAAUGCCGGAUCUUCAAAACAAAGCGAUCGGUCAUGUGCCGGAAACAAUGAGGGGAGGUAUCUAGUUAAGAGACCCCCCCGGAGCACAACAGUACGGCCGAUCGCCCCCAACCAUACAAACUACAGCAAUUCAAUUGCCGUAACCCCAGACCUAGUAGUCCAGGGGCUUCAUAACACAUAAAGCCCCCGCGGGUAUGAAUUUACAAAUAAACACCUUCUACAAGAUGUCGGGUGCAAAGUCCAAGUUCAUUGGCCCACUGCUCUAACGGUUGUUCUCAGAUAACCAAAAUACGCCACAUCAUCCGUGCAUUCCCCUCAUACGGCAACUGACCGUCUGCUACCGGACUGAACCACACUGACUAGAUUUAACGUGGUAAGCCGUAAAGCCAACACCAGUGAUAUACUCACACCUACGUACAAGGCCAAACCCCGCCACUAGAGCGGAAAUCAUACAGCUGUCGGAGUAACAAGUCGUGCAUGCCUAUCAAUAUUUUGAUAUGACAGCCAACUAUCCGGACACCAACCGAGGAGUCCGGGCUACUUCUCGGAAUGGCUGGGGUCACCAGGGUUCGAUCAGAACCUUUAGACCAACCAUGGGAGGGCACUCGGCUGCCUCCAAGCAUUCACCUUCACAAACUAACUUUUAUGCAGAACAGGAUUGGCGGCGCAGAAUCGGUCUGGACACGCAAGGACAGGACCAUGCAGGUAGAAGGCAGUUCAGAUUCACUUUCAAUCCAUUCGCAGCCCCCCCAGUCCGGCCAUCACAGGUUCCGCCCAAAACCAUUCCCUUUUCAUAAUCAUAAAUCACACUCAUAUGCAUAGACAUAUCAUCCCACUGCAAUGCGUAUACUUAAAUAACAUGCGCCGACCAUCGUUUAUCAUCGACGCCUCUUUGCUACAAAAGGGCAGCCAGACUUCGUGUUACGCCUGGGUAUUCCAGGGGCUUCACAAUGCGGCAACAAAGUCCGACAACCUUUUUGGUCGCUCGGCACCCCGAACUUAUAGCACUAUAUGCAUCAGCUCCGAAUCAUGUCUUGGGUCAUUGGUUGGGUUUGCCCGGCUCCCAUGUUUUGGUACCUUACGUUCCGUUCCGUCGGCUAAGGUAGAGCUGGGAGAACUACUGCGAUUGUGUCCCGGUUCUGCCGGACGAGCACCUCAGUAGAGAAAGCCGAAAACCGACUGUCAUGAUGCAGUGAGAGCCGGUCAGCUAUUCGACAGGUUGUACAAUCCUUAAAGAUUUAUUUCGCACAACACCAUCAUAAAUGCAGAUUGCAACGGAUCGGUUUCCCGAUCAGGCGCCAAUAGAGCCCCUAGUUCUUCCUUCCGAACACUAGGGGCUGUGCCGCCCAUACUCGAAUUCCUAUGGCUAAGUGAGAGUAGUAAAGCCCUAUAGUUCGAUUGCCUGGUUUGUGGUGAGCAACACCUCCCCCUAAGGACCCAAUCAUGGGAUAAAGAGUGUUCAAAAAUAUCCCGAACACCCCCGUACUUCUCACGUGGGGGCUGAAGCCGACGACUGGCCAACUCUCAGAAUUUACAUACAAUAAACAGCCGCGCGGGAAGAACAUAUGUUCACACAAAAUAGGCAAUAUAUAAUAAAAAUGCCAUCAUCCCAUAUUACAAAAUUUUGGCAAGAAUGCCUUCAGGGAAAUAUAAUGUCUUUGGUGCACUUAUCCACCGCCAGGCGGGCCCCCUUUAGUAUACCUUCAUUGUACAGUUCGGGCUUGCGAUGCUCCUUACCCUCCGGUGGCCCCUCAGUUAUCAGCUUCUCCGCAUCAAGCUUCCCCCAAUGCACUUUUGCAUGGGCAAGUUUCAUGCGCGCACCUUCUAUACAGACUGAUCGCUUGAUAGUAUCAAGCCGAGGACAGGCGCCCACAAUCCGCUUUACGAGUCCGAAGUAACUGCUUGGAAUCGGCUCUGUAGGCCACAGCCGGAUAACCAAGUCCUUCAUGGCUAGUUCAACCGCCUGGUGCAGUUCGACCAGCUGCUUCAGCUGAUCGAUAAAAGGCACCGGAUAGUUCGGCGCCAGAUACUGCGACCAGAAGUUCCUCUCCGCAGACUCCUUCUCCUCGGUCCAGUAAAAUUGGGCAGCAUCUAAUAUGCUACGAGGCAGAUCCACAAACGCCCCUGUAAAAUCAAGAAUUCAGCUUGCCGCUUAGAGUUAUCCACACUAUAACGCAAUAAUGGCCAUAGAUACAACAGGCCUUACCAGUAGCAACUUUCCGAGCCUCCUGAAUAUCCUGUACAGCACCUCGGGCUUCUUCCCGAGCAUCUUCCACGGCUUAGAGAGCUCGGGCGAGCUCGGAUUCUUUCCCUGCUAGACUCUGCUCCAAGCUCUCGCUUUUCGUCACAGCCUCCUGGAGCUCCAGCUCAGCUGCGAUGACCCUGGCCUCGUGUUUUUCACGCAGCGCAUGUUCGGCAGCAGCCUUCUCGUGGGCAUCAGCUGCUGCCUUCUUCAACGCCUCAUAUUCGGCACUCGCUCCUAGGGCGUAUAACAUAAAUACUUUUCAAUAGGCACACUUAUUCAUUUGUGCCCAAUGCAAGACAAUGUGUAAACAUACCUUGCCUCUCCUCUAAUUGCUUCUUCACACGACCAAGUUCUUCUUCGGCUCGUCCCAGGCUCUGCUUCAGUUCGGACACUUCCGCAUCAUGAGCGGCCGUCCUCUCCACAGACGCCUGUUUUCAAACACAUGGAUAUACAUCAUUAAACAAAGGUUCCCAUUACAAUAGAGGGUUUGAUCCCCUGGCCGGCUCUUUUUUGCCGGACAGUGUAUCAGGGGCUACUCCUCAUAUCAUGAUGAUUCUUCAAAGGUUCCUUAGAAGCCAUACCUCAAAAGCCUUUAUAAGGCCAAGACAGGACUCAUUCAGCCCGCUUUCGGCAACCUGAAUCUUUCCAACCACCGUACCCAUAAGGGUCCGAUGUUCAUCAACGACGGACGCGUUCUUUAACGAUGUCGGUAGACCACCCGGCAGCUCUGCGUAGACAGAGGUGGCCGGCGGAGUAGUCAAACCUCCCUCCGUGGAAGGUGGCCGGUCGCCCGAUCCUGGAGCCUUAGAGGCCUCCACAACCUUAUCCGACUCUGAGUCUCUUCGAGACGAAACCUCGGUGUCGCGCCCGGACUUCGGAAAAGGAGUCCCCGGAGGCGUCUCGCUUGCCACAACAUUCGAGCUCAACAAAUCCUCCGAUGAGGACUGUCCGGCAGGAGACCUUGCCGGGCUAUAUAAGAUGUGGCGACAGUCAGAACUACUAUGCCCAGACGACCCUGGAUACAUAGGUGUAUUCGGAGUUUGGUUACUUAAGAUUUUCCCAGGGGCUGGGCCUCGGGAUCCCACUCCGAGUUGUUAUCGGCAGCCGGGGUGGAUGCCUCUGGAUGGGAACCUCGCCCCCUCUUGGGCGAUUCGGCCUCUAGGGAAGAGGAAGCUGCACGCUUCUUCCCGCCUUCAGAGCGGGGCUCGUCCUCCUCUGCUUCCUCCUCUUUGUCUUCGGAAGAAGGAGCAUCGCUGGAGCCUUCGGAUCUGGCGUCCGAAGCCUCGCGGCAACGGAGGACACUCCGGGUCUUCUUGACCUUCUUGGAGGCCUCCUUCUUUGGUGCCUCGUAAGGCGCAGGGACCAACAUCUUCGUUAGAAGAGGUCCAGCCGGUUCCUCCGGCAGUGGGGCCGGACAUUGUAUCCGGUCCACCUUCUUUAUCCAUCCGUGAGGUCACGACGAAGCACGAUAAGAAGUUUCCCUCAGGACACACCAACUGAAGUAUGGAUGGACAGGGCAUGGUUGUAACUUACUGGGCUUGGAGAAUGGGAUAAUUGAUACCCCCAAUCCUCGGUGGAAUCCGGCCAUUUGCCGGACUUGAAGAGCACCUUCCAGAUAUCCUCGUGGGAGGAGUCAUAGAGCUCCUGAAGGGUCUGGUGCUCGGUUGGGUCGAACUCCCACAAAGUGCAGGCUCCACGCUGGCAAGGGAGAACCAGGCGAACUAGCAUCACCUGGACUACGUCGACAAGUUUGACGUCCUUGUCGACCGCGCUCUUAACGCGCGUUUGGAGCAGUGAUAGCUCAUCGGACGAGGACCAGCUCGGGCCCUUCUUGGGCCAGGACGCGAGCCGCAGUGGAGCUCCGGAUCUGAAUUCAGGAGCCGCGGCCCAUUUUUUGCCGCGUGGUUCGGUGAUAUAAAACCACUGCUGUUGCCACUCCUUGACGGAGUCGUUGAAAGUGCCCUUCGGCCAAACGACUUUGGGAAUCUUGCUCACCAUGGCACCGCCGCACUCGGCGUGUUCGCCGCUCACCACAUUGGGCUUCACAUUGAAAAUCUUCAGCCAUAGGCCGAAGUGAGGCGGAAUCCGGAGAAACGCCUCGCAUACGACGAUGAAAGUCGAGAUAUUGAGAAAAGAGUUGGGGGAAAGAUCAUGGAAGUCAACCCCAUAGUAAUACAUGACUCCACGUACAAACGGUUGGAGGGGAAACCCGAGCCCACGGACAGAAUGGGGAAGGAACACGACUCUCUCGUGAGGCUCCGGAGUAGGCACAACCUGUCCCGCCGGUGGGAGAUGGUGGCCAAUCUUCUUGGCCAGAUACCCGGCUUCCCGGAGCUUCUUGAUAUCCUUCUCCCGGACAGUAGAGGCCAUCCAUCUGCCUCCUGCUCCGGACCCGGACAUCUUUGGAAAACCUCUCUUUGAUGGAAAGGGAGAGUGCUUGGGCGUUAGGGCUCGAGCGGUGGUGAAUGAGUUAGAGGAAGGAGAAGGCGUGGGUAAAGAGGAAGAGACCUUAUCUCUUUGUAAGACGUGGUAAAAGCUUUUUGCGCCUCCCCACUUGCCUGGUGGAACCCGCUCACCUCCCGCUUGCCGCAAUUAGCGGUGUGGUUGAAUUACCCAUGCCCAUAUUAAUGAGAAUCCCGUGAUAAGGGGACACGAUCUUUGCUUCGACAAGGCGUGCCAAGGAAACCGCCUCGCGAUAUACGCUGAGGCUGGAGGUGAGAAAACGGCUCGGACAAUGACCCGACCUUGAUGACAUGUCGCACUGACCAAAAAGUUGUGAGCAGAGUACAUUUAUGAAAUACCGCUAUCUCUACGGCGGUAUGUGAAGAUCAUUUUGCCAAUCCGAACACGGCCUACGUGUUCAAUAAUAACCUUGGAGUAUUCGGAAGGAGGAACCCGCCUUGCAAUGCCGAAAACAAGACUGCGCGCCGGACUCAUCGUCAUUGAAGCCUGGUUCAGGGGCUACUGAGGAAGUCCUGGAUUAGGGGGUAUCCGGACAGCCGUACUAUGUACAUCGUCCGGACUAUUGAAGCAUGAAGAUACAAGACUCAAGACUUCGGACCGUGUCCGGAUGGGACUCUCCUUUGCGUGGAAGACAAGCUUGGCGAUUCAGAUAUUAUGUUUCCUUCCUUGUAACCGACUCCAUUUAAACCCUAGCCCUCUCCGGUGUCUAUAUAAACCGGAGAGGAUGGUCCUUAGAAGGCCGAUCACAAUCACAAUCAUACCAUCAUAGGCUAGCUCUUAGGGUUUAGCCUCUAUGAUCUCGUGGUAGAUCUACUCUUGUACUACUCAUAUCUUCAAUAUUAAUCAAGCAGGAAGUAGGGUUUUACCUCCAUCGAGAGGGCCCGAACCUGGGUAAACAUUGUGUCCCUUGCUUCUUGUUACCAUCAGCCUAAGACGCACAGAUCGGGACCCCCUACCCGAGAUCCGCCGGUUUUGACACCGACAUGGGGCUCCAAUAACACUUGAGAAAAAAACCUUCUGAAGGCCGAAAUAAUUAGAGAAAUUUGUAUAUGAAAUUUGAUUGAGUUCUCCAACUACCUAGUCUCUGGAACCCCUCUUAAUAGUGUGGAUCUCCUAUGGCUCGAAAAGUAACCAAAAAAACUUUCUAAGACUCUGAAGAACAUCGUCUUUUGCCCUUUUUGAAUAGAUGGGCUUACCCAAGUCCAUAGACCAAAUAGAGAAGCCAAAGUUAUGAGAUAAACUUGUAACCGACAUUAGUUCUCGCAAAUCGUAUUAUGGUCAACACCAAAAUCAUAAUUGAGUGACAAUUGCACUUUUAAUCUCCCCCAUUUGGUGAAUUGAUGACAAUACGAGUCACACCAUGCCAAACAUGUAAUGGGGUGAAAACCAUAUUGCCAUGCAACACUAUUAAUGUAGGAAGCUCCCACUUGACAUGUGCAUAUUAUAAAGCAGUAGAUGAUCCAUUGUGCCAAUUGACGCAGAGACCAAAUGCAUCCUGGAAGUUAAGCGAACUAUGUGGAACAUAAAAUGGAAGUCAAAUGAACUGUUUGAAGAGACCAACUGACCACUGCAACUUGAAAGUUAAGUGAACUAUUUAAACAUAAAAUGGAAGUUAAGUAAACUAUCUAAAGAGUCCAACUCCAGCCAUUGGCGCAAAAACCAAAGCCAAGAAGAAAAGCGACCAACUGCAACCCGGUAGUUAAGCAAAUUACUUGAAAACUUUUUUCCUUUAGCUAUUUGUAGAUGAUUAUGUUCAUAGUGUGUUGGUAUUUGCCUUGACAAUGACCAUAUAUUUAUCUUUAUUUAUUGAUACAUACGCCGUUUGCUUGAGUAGGUGAAUAUACUAUGAGAAUUUUCUUUUUAUGUUUCGGCCUUUCCUCAUCUCAUAAUUGCAACAAAAAGGAAACAACGGAGAAAUCAAGUAAACCAUUUGAAGGAUGUGAGAGUCUGCAUGAUAGUGAUGUCAGCAAUGCAUUCAUAUGGAACAACCUACACGUAGCAGCUGAUGCCCUCCCUUGCCAUGUCACACCAUGGUGAACUAGAGCGACCCCUGUCACUCACCAAGCAUGUGGUCAAACAUCCGCGGGCGGUGACAAGAGGCGAUCAAUCAAUCAAGUGAUUUUUUAGUUUAUUUAUAUAUUUUGUUGUAGUUCUACCUUUUUUUGAAUAAAAGAGAGCUUGCCUCUCCGAUUUCCAUUACUAGAAAUCACCAAGUAUUACAAAGAGCGACAGAACAAACAUUAUUUUCUUAACCACACAUCUUAGUUUACUAAAGAGAGGCAAGAGUAGGAGCCAUCCUUCCCUCCCUCCCUUACACCUUCCCCCAACAAACUCAGACCUAAGGCCUGGGCUCAUAUACAGGUCCUGAACGAGCAAACAGAGUAACUAACUAGAGAGAUAGGUUCUAGACAUAUUACAUCAUAGCAUAAGCGAACUAACAAAGAGAGAUCUCCAGGUGAAGAAGAGAAAAAUGUCACACGUUUGUCCUUUAGGACAAAGUCAUCAUCCUAGAGAGCAUGAUAUCAACAACUUUUACCAUGUUGUGAUUCUUCUCGCACCUAGAUGCCAGCCAUGAGCCACCAUGAACACCUCCUCUGCGACUGUUCCAACCUAUCUCACUCCUGCUACCAGUAGCUCACUUCUUCCAGUUUUUUUCUGCAAAAUUGACCAAUCAUGAAGCUAUUUUAGAAAAAGGUUAACUAGAAUACAAGGAUCAUCCACCUUGUUAUUAUAAAAAAUCACACCAUUACGUAGUUUCCAAAGAGUCCAACAUAUGGCAGAAAUACCCACCAUCACCAAACCUCUCUCCUGUAAUGAAUUUUUUAACCCAAGAUCAAACCACUAUAUCCAAGUUGUCAGGAAUACCUGAUAAAUUGGAAGCACAUUUCAAAACAGCCCACAACACACAAGCUACUGAACAGGUAAAGAAAAGGUGAUUAACAAAUUUAUUUUGUCCACAAAAUGGGAACCUUUUGUCCCCUUCCCAACCUAUGUGUAGCAAAUUAUCUUUAGUGAGAAUGCUAUUUCUGAGAGCUAACCACAUGAAAAAUUUAACUCUAGGAGGCAUUUUGGCCUUCCACAUAAAGAGCUGUGGGCAUUCAAUCCCAUUUUCAGUCAAAUGUCUAUAUAAAGAUUUAACAGAAUAGACACGGUUUUUGGUUAAAUUCCAUUUGUCAAAAUUUAUCUCUCAUGUCAGUCAAUGCAUAAGAGGCACAACCCUCUUUGAUGUGUUCCCACAUUUCAAGAGAGUCACCAAUUAAGGUCCUUCUAAAUUGAAUCGUAUAUUUUCCUUUUUCCAACACCUCCUUGACAUUUUUUUAUCAAAAUAAAUAUUGUAAAGUCUAGGAAAGCUUUUUUCAAAGAUGUGGGUUCUAUUCACCAAUCUUCCCAAAUCUAACAUUAUUUUCAUUCCCUGAAGUAAAUCUGCAUAGGGAAAGGAAAAAGUCUUUAUGUUUAAGAUCUCACACCAGAACUAUGAGUCACCUUGUCUGGUUGUGACUAUAUUCAAGCUUUCUCUUUUAUGGUAUUUACUAUAUAUAUCUUGCCAGAGGCCUUUUGAAGUAAACAAUUUCCACCACCAUUUACAUAUUAAUGCUUUAUUCAUUAGAUCUAGAUUUUGAAUCCCCAAACCUCCCAUGUCUUUGGGUCUACAAACCUCUGACCACUUUACCAGAUGCUAUUUUUUCUUGUCAUUUCUUUCCUGCCAUAAUAGUCUAGCUCUAAAGAAAUCCAUCCGUUUGCACACCCCUAUUGGUAGUUGAUGUCUACUAUACAACUUGUUAUUGUAGACUCGUGUUGGGCCUCCAAGUGUAGAGUUUUGUAGGACAGUAGCAAAUUUCCCUCAAGUGGAUGACCUAAGGUUUAUCAAUUUGUGGGAGGCGUAGGGAAGAUGGUCUCUCUCAAACAACCCUGCAACCAAAUAAUAAAAAGUCUCUUGUGUCCCCAACACACCAAAUACAAUGGUAAUUUUUAUAGGUGCACUACUUCGGCGAAGAGAUGGCGAUACAAGUGUAGUAAUGAUAGUAGAUAUUGAUUUUAAUAGGAACAAUAAAAAAUAGCAAUGUAGCAAUUGAUAAAAUGGAGCACAAACGGUAUUGCAAUGCUUGAAAAUGAGGCCUAGGGUCCGUACUUUCGCUAGUGCAAUCUCUCAACAAUGCUAAUAUAAUUGGAUCAUAUAACCAUCCCUCACCUACGAUGAAGAAUCACUCCAAAGUUCUUAUCUAGCAGAGAACAUAAGAAGAAAUUGUUUGUAGGGUACGAAACCACCUCAAAGCUAUUCUUUCCGAUCGAUCUAACCAAGAGUUCAUACUAAAAUAACACCAUAAGAUACACAUCAACCAACUCUAAUGUCACCUAGAUACUCCAAUGGCACCGCGAGUAUCCGUGAGUUGAUUAUAUGAUAUGCAUAAAACAAUUUCAGAUUCAUAAUACUCAAUCCAACACAAAGAACCUCAAAGAGUGCCCCAUGAUUUCCACCGAAGAAACAAAGACGAGAAUGUGCAUCAGCCCCUAUGCAUAGAUUACCCCAAUGUCACCUCGGGAAUCUGCGAGUUGAGUGCCAAAACACAUAUCAAGUGAAUCAAUAUGAUACCCCAUUGUCACCAUGGGUAUUCAUAGAAAGACAUACAUCAAGUGUUCUCAAAUCCAUAAAAGUAUUCAAUCCGAUAAAAAGAAAUCUCAAAGGGAAGACUCAAUUCACAACAAGAUAGAGAGGGAGAAACACCAUAUGAUCCAACUAUAUUAACAAAGCCCGUGAUAUAUCAAGAUCAUGACAUCUCAAGAGCACGAGAGAGAGAGAGAGAGAGAGAGAGAGAGAUAGAGAGAGAGAGAUUAAAUACAUAGCUAGUGGUGCAAACCCUCAGUCCCGAGGGUGGACUACUCCCUCCUCAUCAUGGAGACCAUAGGGAUGAUGAAGAUGGCCUUCGGUGAUGAUUUUCCCCUCCGACAGAGUGCUGGAGCAGGUUCCAGAUUGGUUUGUCAUGGCUACAACGGCUUGCGGCGGCGGAACUUAUGAUCUAGGGUUAUUUUUGGGGCUUUCUCUAUUUAUAGGAUUUUUUGCAUUGGUUUCAUGCGAAGAUGGGCCUCGAGGUGGGCACAACCCACCUGGGCGCGCCUGGGCCUCCUGGCGCGCCCAGGUGUCUUGUGUUCACCUCCUUCACCUUCUGGUCCUCUCACGAAGCUUCUAGUGCCUAUUUUGUUCCAAAAAAUUGUCGAAAAGUUUCGUUACAUUUGGAGAACUUUUAUUUCUUCACAAAGAACAACACCACGAUAGUUCUGCUGAAAACAACAUCAGUCCGGGUUAGUUCCAUGCAAAUCAUAACAAAACCAUAUAAAAUUGUUGUAAACAUGGCAUGAAUACUUCAUAAAUUAUAGAUACAUUGGAGAGGUAUCAGCAUCCCCAAGCUUAAUUCCUACUCGUCCUCGAGUAGGUAAAUGGUAAAAGAAAUAAUAUAUGAAGUGUGAAUGCUAGCAUAGUGCAUAAGUUUGAUAAAUGAUAAUUUCAGUCACUUUUCCUAGCAUCACAACAACAAUUCUUUCUCAUAAAGCUUAUCAUGUUAAAGUAGCAACCAAUUCACAUGUUAAGGUUCAAACAAUGAAUUCUCUUGAAACUUAACAACCUAUAUUCUUAGUCACCAAACAAUUACAAUUCAACUUAUUCAACAAAUUCUAAGUAAGAGAUCCACAUACUCAAUCAUCAUAUAGUCUUCUAUGAUUUCUAGUAGUCAAUGCAUAUUCUUAGAACAAAUGGCAUCCAUCGAACAUAGAUAAAGAUAGGGGCUUAAUGUUUCGCCUCCCAACUCAUUUAUCAUAGAGAUAAUUGUCAACAAUAAUACUUCAUGAUCAAAUAUAUUUGACUGGUCAUAUGUACCUAGAUCUUUCCCCACCACAUGAUGCUUGCCAACUAGAGAAUAAUUGAGGUUGAAAUGAUAAUGCAUACUAUUGACCUUGCAUAAAAGUAAAUACUGAAAAGUAAAAGAUAGGCCCUUCGCAGAAGGAAGCAUAGGUUGUCCUACGCUUUUUAUUUGGAUGCCCAAGAUCUUAAUGCGAAGGAACGUCACAUUAUAUUGCCCCUUAUGAUAGGAACCUUUAUUAUGCAGUCUAUCGCUUUUAUUACUUUGCCAUCACAAGUUCGUACACCGCUCAAUUUUCCCUUAUAAUAAAAGAUCAAACAUAUUUAGGAGCAAUUUUUAUUACUUUAUGCACCGAUGACAACUUACUUGAAGGAUCUUAUUCAAUCCAUAGGUAAGUACGAUGAACACUCAUGGCAAGAAACUAGGUUUAAGGGUUUUUGGAUGCACAAGUAGUAUCUCUACUUAGUAUGAAUUUUUGGCUAGCAAAAGAUCCUAGGCAAACACCACAUGUUGGAGGAUCCAUGACAAUAUAACUUCUAUGCAAAUAUACCCAAACAUAACUCAUUACGUUGUCUUCCUUGUCCAACUUCAACUAAUUUGCUCAAGUUUGAAAAUAACUAAUGGGUAUUCACAAUCAUAGAAGAUGUCCAAGAUAAUAUAUUUGUAUGUGAAAGUUCUCUUCCUUAUACCAAUCAUUUACGAAUUGCUUGCAUGACCAAUAUUGUGAUUGUCAAGCUUCAAAAGAUUUCACUUUCGAAACCCAAUGUGAAGCUACCACUAGGCAUGAUAUGAACAUAUAAUUUCAACUUCAUGAUAUUCAAUUCAUUCAAUAAUUUACUCAUAGGAUAUAAGUGAAGCACAAGAGUAAAUGGCAAACUACUCCAAAAAGAUAUAAGUGAAGAUCAAACGAGUAGUUAAGUAAAUGGGUAGCCAUUUGAGGACUCUCUUAUUUAAAAACCUUCAGAUCUAAGUAUUUAUUAAAACAGCAACCAAAACAAAAUAAAAUGACAUUCCAAGAAUAGCACAACUCAUGUGAAGAAGCAAAAACGUAGGCUCAACCAAUACUAACAGAUAAUUGUUGAUGAAGAAAGGUGGGAUGCCUACUGGGGCAUCCCCAAGCUUAGAUGCUUGAGACGUCUUGGAAAAUUAUCUUGGGAUGCCUUGGGCAUUGAUGACCCACAAGUAUAGGGGAUCUAUUGUAGUCAUUUCAGUAAGUAAGAGUGUCGAACCCAACGAGGAGCACAAGUAAAUGACAAGCGGUUUUCAGCAAGGUAUUCUCUGCAAGCACUGAAAUUAUCGGUAACAAAUAGUUGUAUGAUAAGAUAAUUUGUAACGGGUAACAAGUAACAGAAGUAACUAAGGUGCAGCAAGGUGGCCCAAUCCUUUUUGUAGCAAAGUACAAGCCUGGACGAACUCUUAUAUAAUCAAAUCGCUCAUGAGGACACAUGGGAAUUACUGUCAAGUUAGUUUUUAUCACGCUCAUAUGAUUCACGUUCGUUACUUUGAUAAUUUGAUAUGUGGGUGGACCGGUGCUUGGGUGCUGUCCUUUCUUGGACAAGCCUCCCACUUAUGAUUAACCCCUCUUGCAAGCAUCCGCAACUAUAAAAGAAGAAUUAAGAUAAGUCUAACCAUAGCAUGAAACAUAUGGAUCCAAAUCAGCCCCUUACGAAGCAACGCAUAAACUAGGGUUUAAGCUUCUGUCACUCUAGCAACCCAUUAUCUACUUAUUACUUCCCAAUGCCUCCCCCUAGGACCAGACAAUGGUGAAGUGUCAUGUAGUCAACGUUCACAUAACACCGCUAGACGAAAGACAACAUACAUCUCAUCAAAAUAUCGAACGAAUACCAAAUUCACAUGACUACUUAUAACAAAACUUCAUGUCCUCAGGAACAAACAUAACUACUCACAAAGCAUAUUCAUGUUCAUAGUCAGAGGAGUAUUAAUUAUCAUUAAGGAUCUGAACAUAUGAUCUUCCACUGAAUAAACCAACUAGCAUCAACUACAAGGAGUAAUCAACACUACUAGCAACCCAUAGGUACCAAUCUGGGGUUUUGAGACAAAGAUCGGAUACAAGGGAUGAACUAGGGUUUGAGAGGGGAUGGUGCUGGUGAAGAUGUUGAUGGAGAUUGACCCCCUCUAGAUGAGAGGACCAUUGGUGAUGACGAUGGCUUCGAUUUCCCCCUCCCGGAGGGAAGUUUCCCCAACAGAACAGCUCCGCCGGAGCCCUAGAUUGGUUCUACCCUGGUUCCACCUCGAGACGGCGAUGCUUCGUCCCGAAAGCUUCCUUCUAUUUUUUUCAGGUCAAAACACACCAUAUAGAAGAAGAUGGGCACCGGAGGCCUGCCAGGGGGGCCCACAAGGUAGGGGGGCGCUCCUAGGGGUAGGGCGCGCCCCCACCCUUGUGGAUGGCUGGUGACCACCCUCUGGUGCUUUCUUCGCCCAAUAUUUUUUAUUAAUUCCAAAAUGACUCUCCCUAAAGUUUCAGGACUUUUGAAGUUGUGCAGAAUAGGUCUAAUAUUUUCUCCUUUUCCAGCCUAGAAUUCCAGCUGCUGGCAUUCUCCCUCUUCAUGUAAAUCUUGUAAAAUAAGAGAGAAAAGGCAUAAGUAUUAUACUAUAAUGUGUAACAACAGCCCAUAAUGCAAUAAAUAUCGAUAUAAAAGCAUGAUGCAAAAUGGACGUAUCAACUCCCCCAAGCUUAGACCUCGCUUGUCCUCAAGCGAAAGCCGAAAUCGAAAAAUAUGUCCACAUGUUUAGAGAUAGAGGUGUCGAUAAAAUAAAAUACGGAUAUGAGGGCAUCAUGAUCAUCUUUAGAACAACAACAUAUAUUGUCAUAUAAUUUCUUAUGCUGAAGUAAAAAUUCGUUCACAAGGUAAAGUAUGAAUCAAAAACUUCAUUGAAAACUAACAAACUAUGAUCUCGGUCAUUGAAGCAAUUGCAAUUUAUCAUAACAUCGGAAAGAGUCAAUUUAAGAGCUUUUAAGCAAGUCCAAAUACUCAACUAUCAUUUAGUCUUUCACAAUUGUUAACAUGUGAUACUUAUGGGUUCAAAGCCUCGGUCGGACACAGAGAAAGAUAGGGGCUUAUAGUUUCACCUCCUAACCUUUUACCUUAAGGGUAAUGUCAACAAUAAUACUUUAUGAUAACCUACAUCCGAGUGGAUAUAUAUAUAUAUAUAUCUGGAUCUUUCUCCAACACAUAGUGCUUGCCAAAAGGAAAAAAAGUGUAAAUAGGAAAGGUGAAGAUCACCAUGACUCUUGUAUAAGGGUGGAAGAUAAAAGAAAAGGAUAGGCCUUUCACAGAGGGAAGCAGAGGUUGUCAUGCGCUUAUAUGGUUGGAUGCAAAAAAUCUUAAUGCAAAAGAACAUCACUUUAUAUUACCGCUUGUGAUAAAGAACUUUAUUAUGCGGUCCUUCGCUUUUAUUUCUUCCAUAUCACAAGUUCAUAUAAAGUUUAUUUUAUUCACACUAAUAGAUCAUACGUAUUUAGAGAGCAAUUUUUAUUGCUUGCGCCGAUGACAACUUAAUUGAAGGAUCUUACUCAAUCCAUAGAUAGGUAUGAUGGACUCUCAUGGCAAAACUGGUUUAAGGUAUGUUUGGAAGCACAAGUAGUAUCUCUACUUUGUGCAAAGAAUUUGGCUAGCAUAAGAGGGAAAAGCAUGCUCAAUAUGUUGGAGGAUCCAUGACAAUAUAACUUCUAUUCUGAUAUAAGAAAACAUAACCCAUUAUGUUGUCUUCCUUGUCCAACAUUAACUUAUUAGCAUAUAGUAUUUUAAUGAGUGCUCACAAUCACAAAAAGACGUCCAGGAUAGUAUAUUUAUAUGUGGAACCUCCCUUUGUUUAUUACUUCCUACUAAUUGCAACAAUGACCAAAACUAUAUUUGUCAACUCUCAACAAAUUUUAUUCAUCAUACUCUUUAUAUGUGAAGUCAUCACUUUCCAUAAGAUCAUUAUACAAUCCUUUUUGCUUCUUUUAUUCUUUCUUUUCUUUUCUCAAGAUCAAAGUAAGAAAGCAAAGCCCUCAACUCAAAACUACUCUUUAUUAUAUAACUCACAGACUCGAUUACAUAGAGGGAAAACAAAGUAAAACUCAAAAGUCAAAACUAGAUCAUACUAAAAACUUUUAUUCUACUAGAUAAAGAUAUAACCAUAAAUGAUCGAACUAAGAAAAACAAUAAAGGUAAAGAUGUGAUGGUGUUACGAUACCGGGGUACCUCCCCCAAGCUUGGCACCAGCCAAGGGGAGUGCCCAUACCCAUGUACUCAGUUCUCCUUCGGAGGUGAUGGUGGUGAUGUGGUAGAUGAUGUGGGAAGCUUCUUCCUCUUCUUACGCUUGAGGAUGUAAUUUUCCUCCUUUAAGUCAUUGAUCUCUUGCUCGAGCCUUAAUAUCUUUUUGCAUAUUUCUGCUUGUUUUCUUGCAGGAGACAAAAAGGGAUAAAUUCAAUCUUAGGUUUCCUUGAUUCAUUAGGGAGACUUGACUUCUUGAAUUCCACGUGCAUGUCCCCAGGUUGAGGUAGUGGAUCUUAUUUGAGUGGGGUGAAUUCGUAUAUAUUUUUUAGCUGUACAGUAGGGUAAGGCCCCACUGCUAUUUUGAUGAAAAGCAAGCAAAAACUAUUUUGUUGUGAAGUGUACACGAGGAAUGUAGGUGAAAUCAUAUUUGAUGCAUAUUCCAUUUGUUCCGAAUUCUGUUUGAUACAUCCUCUAGAAAACAUAUAGGAUAUAUCCAAUAGGGCAAGUUUAUGGUUACAUUUCUCUUUACGAUGCUUAUACGAAGAAUGUAGAUAAAAAUAUAUUUCACAUGCCAUUUCAAUUUCUAAAUUUUCCCACAACCUUUAACAAUUUCAUAUAUUUGCUUUUUCUUUUGUUUAUAUUCCACAAUGAUAAGGUUUUCUUAUUUCAGAAUUACUAUUAACAAAACCGUGUUCUUCCUAGAGCACCAGCAGCAACCACAUCAUGAAAGGGUCAAGGGAAGAUUAUUUGUAUGUGUCACUGAAAGCGAAGGUAAAAUUUCAAUACAACACGUUCAUAUUACCUGCAAAUUCACAAGUGCAUGUUUUGUAUCAAAAUUAAUUUUUCCCUCUUCAUUACAUUGGUAUAUGUUCUGAAUGGGUUGGCGAAUAUCUUGGUAUAUGUAGUUUCAAAGCUUCAUUACAUUGUAGUAGGGGGUUUAGGGCUCUGUGCGGCACCAUGCCUUAGCAAGCUCCUUAAUUUGGCUAGAACAGAGGGCUAGUGUUCUUACUCAUUUGCCGCCUAAUUUAUAUGGUUCUGCUAUGAACCAUUCCUACUUUGGCAAUAGAUUGCAUCACUUUAUGCCAUAGAAGAACCAUGUAAAUAAGUAUCCAACGAUGGCGACGCGGGGGCAGACACAAGGAGGGGUGGUGAGCCGGCGACGACUGGGUUCCCCCGAUCUCCUGGGUUGGGCGACGCCUAAUUUAUAUGAUGACUGAUUUAUAUGGUACAUAUUGAACAAAGAGCCCAAAUAUGUACAAGUGGAUCUGAUCGUUACAUUAUUCGAUUUGGACAUUGUAGUAGCUACCAAUAGUACAGUUCACUUCUUUAUCCUCCUGUUGCCACUAACUAAAUCUUUGUGCUUUUUUUCUUUUGCUCAUGGCCCUAUGAAAGGUUGAAUGUCAAGACAAUCAGGUGGAUCUAUCCAAAAAAUAUGCUUCCGUGGAACUAUAUAGGUUCUUUGUCUUGCAUUGCUGUUGUGACUUUAUUUUGCUGUAUGAGAAGUACAUUGUAUCAAACUUGAUGUGGAUUGAUCGUCCGGUCUCUCUUUUGGAAAAGUAUAUAUUUACAUUCCUCAUGAACUUCGAGACGAAUGGUUCUACCACAAAAUCCCUCAUGGUUGCUUUGCAUUUGGUACAUGUGAUUGCCUUGCCUUCUUCCAUGACUUUGACAAAUGAUCCUAUACCAAGUAGCAACAAUAUUGCGGUUUGUUUCAAAGCUGGAACAAAGUGUUCAGCUAGGCACCACGAGCCAAGGUGCGUUGCCGAUCUAGUUAGCUAUUAUUGAACCGUCAUCCAAAUCAUUUGGAAAGGAUGCACUCACACGUGUUGGAUUUUUCUUUCCUUUAUUGAGAAACACCGAGUACAACGUGAUAUGGACUAAACCAGUCACAUUUUCCAAGUUAAGAGACAUAGGGGUAUCAAUGUUAAGAGCAAGUUCAUGAAUCUAAAGAAAAGCUUCAUGUACUGCAGGGGUAAUUUUACUCUUUUUUAGCAGCCCAAUUUAAUCUUGCUUCUGAAACCGGCUACCUGGUAAUUUUCUUUUCCAGUAUGGUCAAAGUGCUUGCAUUUCCUUCUGGACAGUCGGCACACUAAUCUUUUUAUUUAGUGAAUCAAAGGACUCUUAUUUCAUAUUUAAAGAGUUACAAUUACAGUCAAGAGGCAAAAGAUCCUCAGUACAUGGUGGUCUUUGGUGCAUCCACACAGCCGUGGUACACUCAGUACGACUAUACAUUGCCAGGCAGUUGGCAACUCUAUUUUGAUCCCUAGUUAACUUUUUUGGAAUAAGAUCAUGUACAACCAGACAUAGCAAAUAUGACUGCUUAAAUGCCCGCGGACGCACCCGAUCAGUGACCGGGCGUGUUCGUUUCGAGCCCUCAUUCAUCUGUCAGCGCAGCCACGCUCCUUAUUUUUUUCCUCAUAUGUCCGGUCACUUGCACGUGAUUGGUGGAGAUGAAGAGAGAGAAAUAAAAGAAUGAAUAAAGAAAGAGAAAAGUUGUGGUCCGGGGUGAGGCCACUGAUACGUCUCCAACGUAUCUAUGAUUUUUGUUUGUUCCAUGCUAUUAUAUUACCUGUUUUGGAUGUUUAUGGGCUUUACUUUAUAUUUUUAUAUCAUUUUUGGGACUAACCUACUAACCGGAGGCCUAGCCCAAAUUGCUAUUUUUUUGCCUAUUUCAGUGUUUCGCAGAAAAGGAAUAUCAAACGGAGUCCAAACGGAAUGAAACCUUUGGGAGCGAUCUUUUUGGAACAAACAUGAUCGAAGGACUUGGAGUGGAAGUCAAGAAACAAGCGAGGCAGCCACGAGGGUGCUCGGCGCGCCCCCUAGGGCUGGGCGCGCCCUCCACCCUCGUGGGCCCCUCGAGCGUCCACCAACAUACUCCUUCCUCCUAUAUAUACCCAUGUACCCCGAAAACAUCAUAGGCGACCACAAAAAAGUAUUUCCACCAUCGUAACCUUCCGUAUCCGCGCGAUCCCAUCUUGGAGCCGUCACCGGCGCUCCGCCGGAGGGGGAAUCCACCACAGAGGGCCUCUACAUCAAAUCCAAGGCCUCUCCGAUGAGUUGUGAGUAGUUUACCACAGACCUUCGGGUCCAUAGUUAUUAGCUAGAUGGCUUCUUCUCUCUCUUUGAUUCUCAAUACAAAGUUCUCCUUCCUAUUCUUGGAGACCUAUUCGAUGUAACUAUUUUUGCGGUGUAUUUGUCGAGAUCCGAUGAAUUGUGGGUUUAUGAUCAAGUUUAUCUAUGAGAAAUAUUUGAAUCUCCUCUGAAUUCUUUUAUGUGUGAUUAAGUUAUCUUUGCAAGUCUCUUCGAAUUAUCGGUUUGGUUUGGCCUACUAGAUUGAUCUUUCUUGCAAUGGGAGAAGUGCUUAGCUUUGGGUUCAAUCUUGCGGUGCCCUUUCCCAGUGACAGCAGGGGCAUCAAGGCACGUAUUGUAUUGUUGCCAUUGAGGAUAAAAAGAUGGGGUUUAUAUCAUAUUGCAUGAGUUUAUCCCUCUACAUCAUGUCAUCUUUCUUAAAGCGUUACUCUGUUCUUCAUGAACUUAAUACUCUAGAUGCAUGCUGGAUAGCGGUCGAUGUGUGGAGUAAUAGUAGUAGAUGCAGGCAGGAGUCGGUCUACUUGUCACGGACGUGAUACCUAUAUACAUGAUCAUGCCUAGAUAAUCUCAUAAUUAUUCACUUUUCUAUCAAUUGCUCGACAGUAAUUUGUUCACCCACUGUAAUAAUUAUGAUAUCCUAAGAGAAGCCACUAGUGAAAUCUAUGGCCCCCGGGUCUAUCUCUUAUCAUAUAAGAUUUCAAUCUACUUUUAUUUGCAUCUUUACUUUUCCAAUCUAUAUCAUAAAAUACCAAAAAUAUAUUUAUCUUAUCAUAUUAUCUCUAUCAGAUCUCACUUUCGCAAGUGGCCGUGAAGGGAUUGACAACCCCUUUAUUGUGUUGGUUGCGAGUUCUUGUUUUGUUUGUGUAGGUGCGCGGUACUUGUGAGGAUCCUCCUACUGGAUUGAUACCUUGGUUCUCAAAAACUGAGGGAAAUACUUACGCUACUGUGCUGCAUCACCCUUUCCUCUUCAAGGAAAACCAACAAAAGCUCAAGACGUAGCACCGCGUCCUACGUGGUGGACUGCCCGGGUAUGCUCAGGCCUGUCCGCGAGCCCUCAUAUCCUCCCCAUAUUUGAGAUGGAUAUGAGGGUUCGCGGACAGCCCGGGCGUAUAGGGAUGAUAUGAGGGGCCCGGUUGGGUCAUAUGUGUUUCCUUCUCUCUCCUUUCCGGUCACUGACAGGGCGCGUCCGUGGGCGUAUGAGGGAUGGUUUGAGAGGUCCGGAUGUAGAUGCUCUAAACUCCCUGAUUUUCUUCAACUCCUUAAUUUCAGCCACUAGAUGACCAUAGGCAGAACGAUCUAGCCAAUCCGCUGUUAAACUAGACAAUCGCCUCACUUGAGUUAGAUUGGACAAUGACCGAAAGGCUGGUUUCGUUGAAUAACAAGCGUCAUUCCUUGCAUGAUUGCAUGUAUCUCCAUCUCCAGUGCAUCAUUGCAAUUGAAAAUAUGACCCUUAACGGUGCUGGCCGCCUACCCUUGAACCUUCCGCGGGAAGUCGAGGGCACCGAGGACCUGGCAAGGUGGCGUGCGCGAGGCGGGUCGCGAGCCAGAGCUCGGUCCUUCAGAUUUAUCAGCGCUGCCGGGAUGGACCUGAGCACAAGCGCCGUGCCGGCAUAUGUAGCCCUUGUUGCGGAAUGAGCAAAGGACGAGUUAGCACGUAGAGGGACUGCGGAGCGGAUAGGACCUAAAGCAUGCAGGUGAUGAUCAUAAAUCAACUCAUGGGAGAUGGUUAGGUAGUCCUGACGAAUGCAAGAAGGAUACAUGCCGUAGGAAUGUGCGUGGCAAGUCAAUGCUCCAUUCUCAAUCAGAGAGAUGGAAUGUGCGUGGUUUGAAUUCCGAGGCUCGUCAGAGAGAUGUGAGAGCUAAGAUCAAGGAAAGUCAAUGCUCCAUUCUGUGUCUGCAAGAGACGAAGUGUGAAGAUUUUGAUAUACGAAAAAUUAGAGCUUUCUGGCCUAGAAGUUUCGACACCUUUGUGUUUGCCCCAUGAGUUGGUGCCUCUGGUGGUAUUUUGGUUGUCUGGGAUUCAGGAAUUUUCAAAGGAACUUUGGUUCAGAUAGAGAGUUUUGGCAUCGUGGUUUCGUUUCAAUAUGUUCAUAAUGCGGAGUGUUAGGCUCUUGUGUCAGUAUAUGGACCUUUUGAUGGUCCACUUCGAGAUGAUUUUGUUAGUUGGCUGUAUAAUCUACAAAUACCCACUGACGAAAAUUGGUUGUUCCUAGGUGAUUUCUAUUUCAUUCAUUCCUUGGACAACAGAAACAUACCGGGGGGUGAUGUUAAUGACAUCUUUCUGUUUAAUGAGAUUAUUGGACACUUGGGUUUGCUUGAACUUCCUUUGAAGGGGAGGAGCUUUACUUGGUCCAAUAUGCAGGAGCAACCAUUGUUAGAGCAGCUGAACUAGUUUUUCACAACCUCUGUCUGGAUUUCUUUCUAUCCUAAUACAGUUGUGUUUCCCCUGGCAAAAACCUCCUCCGACCAAGUCCCUUGUGUGGUCUCCAUUGACACAACUAUACCCAAGGGAAAGGUGUUUAGGUUUGAAUUUUUUUGGGUGGAUAUGCCAGGGUUUAUUGAUUGUGUCAGGAACUCUUGGCAGCAACCUGUGUUUGCUAACCCGUCUGCGUCUGCUAUUUUGUCCACCAAGUUUAAGCGUCUGCGCUAUGCACUUAAAGCCUGGAGUAAGAACCUGUCCUAUCUUAAAUGGCUCACAAUGGAUUGUAGUAAGGUGAUUCUGUUCUUUGAUGGCUUGGAAGAAAUUCGGCCUCUCACCACGCCUGAAUUUAAUUUUUGGAAGAUUGUUAAGCUUCAUCAUGAGAAUCUGCUUAGAAUUCACUAUAUUUAUUGGAAGCAAAGGUGCACGAUCCGUUAUAUCAAGGUUGGGGAGGAGAAUUCAAAGUUUUUCCAUGCCAUGGCCUCUGAUCAUUUUCGCAGAAGUGCCAUUGCCAGUCUUUCAGUGCCUGGUGGUGACCCAGUCUCUGAUCAUUCACAAAUGGCGGGAAUUCUCUGGUCAUCUUUUAAAAACAAAUUGGGCCAGGCCCAAGGCAUUGAAAUGGGCUUUGAUCUGCCUAACCUAAUUCGCCCAGUGGCUGGUUUGCAUAGUCUGUCUGACCCUUUUUCUGAUGAGGAAAUCAUCUCUGUUUUGAAGGACUUGCCUACUGAGAGAGCUCCUGGUUCGGACGGCUUUAAUGGCCUUUUUGUCAGGAAGUGUUGGUCCAUCAUUGAGAAGGAUUUUUUGAAACUCAUUCAGGAUUUCUUUGAUGGGAGAAUUUCCCCGGAGAAUAUCAAUGGCUCUCUCAUCACCCUCAUACCAAAGAUGCUAUCUCCUGAGGGACCUGAGGAUUUUAGGCCAAUUUCUCUGACCAACACAUGUCUCAAGUUUCUUACUAAGUUACUGGCAAACCGGUUACAAAAGGUGAUUCUUAGAUGUAUUCACAAAAAUCAACAUGGAUUUCUGAAGAGCAGAGCCAUCCAGGACUGUCUGGCUUGGGCUUUUGAGUACAUACACCAGUGUAAGCAGUCAGGGAGAUCUAUCAUCAUUCUGAAGUUGGACUUUGCAAAAGCAUUUGAUACUGUGGAGCAUGAGCUUAUUCUGUAGAUUCUCCAGCACAAAGGUUUUGAUGCAAAGUGGAUUGCCUGGAUUAAAGAGAUCCUCUCUUCUGGCUCUUCAUCUGUUCUUAUGAAUGGGGUGCCUGGUAAACAGUUCAAGUGCAAAUGUGGGGUCAGGCAGGGGGACCAACUCUCCCCACUGUUGUUUGUUAUUGCUGCUGAUCUUCUCCGUUCUAUGGUCAAUGACAUGCUGGCUAGGGUUUUUUAACACUGCCAAUACCUUCUCAUGAUCCUGAUUUUCCCAUUAUCCAGUAUGCUGAUGAUACCAUUAUUGUGCUCUCUGCAGUCGAGGAUCAGUUGGUUGCUCUCAAGAACAUGCUUCAUAUUUUCCAACAGUCAACUAGGCUCAAAGUGAAUUUUGCCAAGUCCUCAAUGAUUCCAAUCAAUUUAGAGCACGAUGAGGCAUAGAGAUUAUCCAAUAUUUUGGGAUGUAGGUUGGAACAGUUACCCUUCACAUAUCUAGGUUUGCCCCUAGGUACUACCAGACCUAAGAUUGUUGAUUUAAUGCCUCUGGUGGACAGUGUUGAAAGAACACUUUCGGUUAGCUCUUCUAUGCUCAACCAAGGAUCUAGGCUGCAACUACUCACAUCUGUCCUCACCUCAAUGCCCAUAUACUUCCUCUGCAGCCUCCAUAUUCCUCCUGGCAUUAUUAAGCAGUUAGACAGGAUCUUCAGACAGUGCCUUUGGAGAGGAAAUUCUGAUGCCCCUAAGCAAUCCUUGGCUGCUUGGGAGUUAGUUUUUAGGCCUAAGGACAAGGGAGGGCUCGGUAUUCUUAACCUGCCCAUUCAGAAUCAAGGUCCACUUAUCAAGCAUCUGCAUAAAUUCUAUAAUAAGCAGCAAGUGCCAUGGGUUCAGUUGAUUUGGGACAGUUAUUAUGAUGGAGUGGUGCCCCAUGCAACUAUACUCACUGGCUCCUUUUGGUGGAAGGAUAUCCUCAAACUUGCUGAUCAUUAUAGAUCAAUUGCCACAGUGCAAAUUAAUAUGGGUGACUCUGAUCUCUUUUGGCUGGAUGCCUGGCAAGUGGGAGGUUCUUCCAGACCAUUGAACUUGAGGUUUCCAAGAUUAUUCUCUUUUGCUAUGGAUGAUAAACUCUUUGUCAGAGAUUUCGUACAAAACCAGGAUUUGUUCUCCAUGUUCCACCUACCAAUCUCACAGGAGGCACCAGCAGAACUAGAGAUUUUGGAAGGAUGGUUAUUUAAUCUUCAGAGGGAUCCUACUCUGCCUGAUGUAUGGCUCUGGCCUGGAAAGUCUGGGCAAUUUUCUGCUAAAAGCUUCUAUGUGAUCAUGCAUUCACACCUUCCAACUAUCCAACCUUGUAAGUGGCUAUGGUAGAGCAGGUGUACUAUGAAAAUUAAGGUCUUUGGCUGGCUCCUUUUCUUUGACAGGCUCAAUACUAAGGACAUGUUAGUCAGAAGGUAUUGGAGGUCCCCUCUUGAUGAUAAUCUAUGUGUCAUCUGCAAUGCAUUUGUCUAUGAGGACAGAGCACAUGUGUUCUUUGAAUGCAAUUUCAGUUGCAGGGUCUGGAGUUACUUGCAAGUGGAUUGGAGCCAUGGCUCAAAUAUUCAACAGUGCAUCUCCCAAGCAAGGCAAAGUUUUGGACACCCAUUCUUCAUUCUUUGAAGUGAUGCUCACAGUUGCUUAGAAUAUUUGGAUUCUGAGGAAUGGAUGAACCUUCAGGGGGACGAGGGCUACUUUUGCUGCAUGGAGAUGUAAUUUUAUUCAUGAUAUCCUUCUGUUGUCUCAUAGACUUAUGGAUACCCUUAGGACUAGACUUGUUGUUUGGGUUAAUUCCCUCAUGUAAAGUAAGUUUUCUAUCCUUUAGCUUAGGCCUGUAAAUUUUGUAGUCCUUGUAUAGUUUGUUUUGUUUGGUUGAGGCAAUAAAGGGCUGUGGUUUUUUUUACCCUACAGUAAAUAUUCAAAAAAAUACAUGCCGCAGGGACGGACCCACGCGGCUUGGGGAUAGUGCAGCCCGAGGGGCGCCCCCAAACUGAACAAACUAAAAGAUGUCACCUGGCACCGUUGCUGAAGAAAUGUCGGGGUAGUAGGAGGUGUGCGUUGCUGAAGUCGCUCCUCAUGAGCCACCCUGGCCCUGAACCUCGGGAGGCUCUGGGGGCGGUGGGUUCGUGAGGACCCAUCGCCAUCUCCGCCUGGAUCGCCUGGUGCCUAGCCUCCCGAGCCUCUAGGACAUCCUGCAUGUGGCGCUGAGGUGCAACAGCCGCUUAGCAAGCAGAAGGACAUGCGAACGUAGCUGUGAGGGGGACGCUCGCAUCGGCCAACACGGGACGGCCAGAAGAGCUCCUGAGACGCGUCCCUGUUGAGCCCUGGGAUGUCAAUGCAGACGCGGAACUCCUCACCCUCGCCAGGGCAAGGAGUUACGCCUGGUGGUGGGCGUCGAUCGCCAUGCGGAGCCCUCACCUCCUGAAUUUUGUUGACUACCUUGCUGAUAAAUUCCUGAGUGCCUGGUGCCUCGCGCCCUGUGCUCUCCCCUUGGAAGCGUGCAGUGAAGCAUGCCUCCACAUGGUGCCCGAGCACCUCCCUCGUGACGUUGGCCAGGUCAGAGGCCCUCCAGAGGAGAGCCCCCGAGCCCAACCUGAGAGGGGCGCCAGGCGUGCCUUCCUAUGCGAUAGGUGAAGGCGCCCUGUCCACUGACGCGAGCCUCAACGCGCCACCACCAGGCGCUGCCUCCUCCUGAGAUCCCUGGCCCAGCAGUUGCUUCUUGGUCUUGGGGGCGACUUCAGGAGGGAGGGUUGCGCCCUCGUCUUCAGGGUUCUCGACCGCUGCAGCCUGGUAGGCGCGCUCAAGAGAGCAUACUGCAUCCUUUUCCUCGCAGGCGACCGUGAUGAUGUCGCUGCUCCUUGGCAUUUUGAGGAUGUUGUAGCCGUGGUGCGUUGCUGCCAUGAACUUGGCUAGGGCUGGGUACCCGAGGAUGGCAUUGUACGGCAAGCGAAUGUCGGCGAUGUCGAAGUUGAUGAGCUCGGUGUGGUAGUUGCCGCGCUUGCCGAAGGUGAUAGGGAGGCAGACUUGCCCGAUUGGAUGCAUGGAGCCAUCGGUCACUCCUGAGAAGGGCUUGGUAGGCUGGAGCUGGUGGUAGUACUUGGAGCCUGUUAAACGUCUGGACAGAGAACAUUGAGCCCUGCUCCGCCAUCGAUGAGGGUCUUGGUGACAAGUAUGUUGCUGAUGAUGGGCGAGCAGAGCAUUGGGAGCACGCCAGCUGUGGCCACACACUUGAGCUGGUCGGAGGAGUUGAAGGUGAUGGCGUACUUGGACCACCUGAGCGGGUGUGUUGCCUUGAGCUUGGGGAGGACUGUGUUCACCUCACAUGCAAACUGCUUGAAGGCGCGAUGAGAGGCUGGGGCCUGGGAGCCGCCGAAGAUGCAGGCGAUGGCACGAGGCUCUUGGAAGCCCCCAGCCCCCUCGUCCUGGUGGUGAUCUUCGUUCCUUCUCUUCGGCGGAGGUAGCGGAGGAAGACCAGCAUUGCCCUGAAGCCGAUACUCGUGAGGUUGAUCCCUCCAGGCGCCCUCGCGAGGUUGACCCUGUCAGCAGUCCUCCCGAGGCUGGUCGCGCCACUCCUGAUGAUGGUCGUGGCCGUCCCAGCGUCCUCCACCUCGGCCACCUUCACGGCUGUAGCCUCGAUCAUUGCGCUCGGGGCGACGACCGAGGCGCCCAUUGCGGAGGGCCCUGAGCUCCUGACAAUCGUUGGUGUUGUGGAUGUGCACGUUGUGGAAGAUGCAUGACAGAUGGCUGCCCUUGGAUGACUCAGGGUGAUUGCAGUCGCGCUUCAUCUCUGGUUCGGCUGUGAGCACAGCCGGCCCCUUGCGCUUCACGUCCUUGGGCUUGGCCUUCUUGUCUUUUGGGUCUGCAUCGGGGAGCUCGAGGAGGGAGAGGCAUCCCUGCUUAGCCCUCGCACAUUUGUUCGCCAUAUUGAACAUCUCCAGAGCUGUGCAAAGGUCCUCAUGUAUGGUGAGCCGCUCCUUAAUCUUGAUGUCGCGGACGCCAUCAGUGAACGCCGAGAUGAUUGCCUCGUCCGACACCUUGGGGAUCUUGGGGCGAACAUUGUUGAAACAUUGUAUGUACUUAUGCAGGAUCUCUCCUGGCUACUGCUUGAUGCGUCGAAGGUCACCUGCAGCUAGCGAGCGGUCGCGCAUGCCCUGGAAGUUGGCGAUGAAGCGCUUGCGCAUCUCAUCCUAGGAGGAGACCAAUCCCAGAGGGAGCUUCACGAGCCAGGAGCAUGCGCCGUCCUUGAGGGCCAUGGGGAACCAGUUUGCCAUGAUCUUCUCAUCGCUGCUGGCCGCCUCGAUGCUCAGUUCGUAGAGCUACAGGAACUUAGCAGGGUCGACGGUGACGUCGUAGCGUGGGGGUAGGUUAGGCUUGAACUUCCCCGGCCAGAUGGCGUUGUGCAGCUCCGGGGUGAACGCGCGGCACCCUGCUGUGGUCACGGGAGCCUGUAGGGGUGGUGGAGCCUGGCCUUGGUGCUAGCACACCACCAUCAUAGGCGGCGCACGGUCUUGACGUGGAGGUGUGAGGAGCGCACAUGCAUCUUCUUGGGGCCGCUGCACCACUUGACAGCUUGCUUCUUCACGCGCGGGCGCCUGACGCUGCGCAUCAUACUGUGCCACUACCCGCCUUGGCUCGAUGAUGGCGCCCUGCACUGGAGGCAGAGGAGGCGCCCCAUGAGCUAUGUCGCUCGCAGCAGGCGGCGGCUGAGGCAGCGAGCGGGCCGGCGCAGCAGAGUCUCCGACGGCGCUGACGAGCUCGACGAUGCACUUGAGCCACUCCUCGUAGAAGUCGUUCACUGGGCGGUAGCUUAGGAGCUCCCGUGCCAUGACCAGUGCGGCCUAUGCGUUCACCAGGCCACGACGUGCAUGGGAGGAUGAAGCGGCCGGAGUGAGCGACGGGGUGGCGGUGCACCUAUCGCGGUGCACAGAGGGGUGCAAUGAUGAAGCUUGCUGCUCGUGGCCAGCAGGGACCGUGGCAGCAUUUGCCGUCGAUGAUGGGGGAUGACGAGGACAACCAUCACCCGCCGGUACCGUCUGAGCGAUGCGGGCUGCGACCGCGCCUGGCGCUCAGUGCGAGCCCGACGCUCAUAAGCCAUGGAAGUGUCGGAGUAGCGGUGGAUCGAUCGAUGGAAGAGAAGACCCGACGCACCCCUACCUGGCGCGCCAAAUGUCGGAUUUCGGGUACCGCAAACCCUUUAGGGGUUUGAACUUUGGGGUGCGUGCGGAGAUCUCAACCUGCCCAGCCUGCCUACUCGCUAAUCUCACAGCCUAUCGCGUCGAGCUCAAAGGGAAAGGAAGACACAACAGUUUACCCAGGUUUGGGCCACCUUGCGGUGUAGAACCCUACUCCUUCUUUGUGGUGGAUUUGCCUCGAGGGGCUGAGGAAGAGCUAGUAUAGUGGAGAACAGCCUCAGGAGGCGUGUUCUUGAGCUCAAGUGAGCAGGUGGGAUGGUGAGGGUGGAAUGGAUUUGAUCCCCUCUCUCUUGUCAGUGCAUUCGACCCCCCUGGUGGUGGCUAGGUCCUAUUUAUAGUGGCCUUGGUCCUCUUCCCAAAUGUAGGCGGGAAGGGAUCCCACAACGACCAAAUUUGAAGGGAGACAACAAGUACACUCUAUCCUAACUAAAGUGGUCUUUACCUGCAAAAGCCGCUGGUCGUGACGCUGCGGUGGGCUCGGUGGUGACCUCCGUCCUGCCGUCCUGGUGGUCUUGGUCUCGUUGCACCAGAACGGAAACCUUUGGCUAAUGCCUCGGGACUCUGCACCUGCUGCUUGCGUCAUUUGCACCAAAGAGGAAACUGGUACUCUGCACCUGCUGGCGCUCGCCUGACCUUUGUCAUCACAGCUCACAUCAGCCAAACCUCGCGAGGUGAGCCUUGCAUAGAAAUCUCCGCUCCUCGGGAGCCAGCCUAAGGGGGCCGAUCCCCUUGGAGGUCUUUGGUGUCAUCCGCCUUGCGAGGCUUGGCCCCUCGCGAGGGUCUUGAGUUGUUGAUGCUGAAGCUGGGUCAUACCAGGCCAUUGAUGGAGCCACGUCGUGGGCCGCAGGUAGGCGAGUCUGGGUACCCCUGUAUCCAGAACACCGACAGAAACUAAACAUGAACAACAACCUACAAACCCUAGAAUAGCAUGCAUCCACAACUACAGAGCUCAAGUAGGAACCAAUGCAUGAGUAGGGCAUAGAGCAUCAAAUAGACAAGUCCCACAUCAAUAUAGCCAUGACCAUGUCCAAUACAGUAGUCGAAGCAUAUGAGCAGGGGGAAGAUGGAUCUCACCAAAGAAGGUUGUAGCCGAGGCAGUACUCACUGGGCACCGGGGUUGCGCUUGAACGCCGUCCAACCAACAAGGAACUGCGUCGGAGUUGCGCUUUGCACUGCCCCGCCGACGAGCACGAACGCAUCAAACAACCAAGUGAUUAUGUGCACGGAAUACAUAUCAAACAAUAUAAACAAUCAGAUAUGCUAUCACAACAGGCGAAUAAACAUCUAGUAUAACAGAAAAAUAUAAUAGAAGCGGGGCUAGGCAAUAUAGAAAGCAAUGCAUAUUUGAUAGACUAGUUCAUCUAUCAUUGGAACUAUAGAAUAUUUAGAAGACUUCUAAUAAUAGUAUGUCACUGCAGAUAUAUUUGUAAGUCAAAUGGAACAUGUUCUGUUAAAAACCCAAUUAAUGGCCUAACUUUGAUAAAGCCACAAGACACUACAGGUGUCGGGGGUUGGAUACGACAUAUGCCAAAGGAUGGCUUAUCAUGGUGGGAGCGAGUAGAACAUCGCCGGUGCCUGGAAGCGGGAUGAGGCGAAGACAUGCACGCCGGCGGAACUUACCCAGCUUCAGGGCUCUCCUAGGAGAUAACACCCCUACUGCUGCUCCGCGGGGUCUCCGCAUGAUCACUCAAGCAAGGUGACUACAAUGGUGCUCCUAGAGCUGUUUUGGGAGGCCAGAGAGAGCAAGGCUAGUUCUCUCCUCCCGUGCUAUCUGGUCUAUCUCUAUUCAGGUCCGAACCCUUUGCAUGGGUGCCCCGAGGGGUUUAUAUAGGCCUACCCCCCGGGGGUACAAUAGUAAUACGGCUGGGCACGGUCCCAGCCGUGUGUCUCUCUGGCCACCGUCCUUCCCGCCGGCUUCUGGGGCCCGCCGACUGGCGGGUCCCGCGGACAGGCUUGAUACUGUAGCGACACUCCUGGUGACGCAGGCUUGGUCAUCGGGUCGUGCCAACAGUGCCGCCGUCUAUCGGGCGAUCACCAUCGCCAUUCCCCAUCUUAUCUGGUUAAUGGCACGUGGGGCCCUGGGAGGAGUCGGCCGACUCCAGGGAGGCCGACUCCCACAGGUCCGUCUUCGGGUGCCCAGGCCAUCUUCGGCCUUCCCCCUGACAGGCGGCCCCGCCGCCUUUGGGUCGUAUAGGCCGGCGUCAUGGGCACAGUGUACUGCACACUCUGGCUGAGGUCAGGGCAGGCAUGGCAACAGUGCCGCGCCUCACCGGAGAUCUUCCAGCUAUACGGCUCACUGUAGCCAUGCCGGCCCUUCGUGAGCAGGGGGGAAACGGCCACGCCGUGACCGUACCCUGCAUCGUACUUCGGGAUGAGGGAGGAGCCACGGGCCGACUCUCCAAAGUCGGCCUCUUUGGAGGUCGCCAGCUUGGAGUCGGCCUCUCUGGAGGUCGCCAGCUUGGAGUCGGCUUAUCUCGGAGUCACCGUCUGGGACUCGGCUUGAGGGGCGCGGCCUGCCCCGAUGUCUUGAAAGGUCUUGGGGCUCGGGUUAGCCUACCCGUGGCCCAUUACUCCGACAGUAGUCCCCGAAGCUGGUGAAGCCUGGCGGUCGCUGCAUUGUGGGGCUUCAACAGCUUCAAUCUUUAUAAGUGCAGACUCUAGGACUCGGCUACCGUCUUCCCUUGGGCCGACUGCCGAAAGUCGGAGUUUCGGUGAAGAGCCUCAGUUCGAAAGUCGCGGCGGGAAACCAGGCGGCGUGCCUAAUACGCCUCCCUGCUGCCAUCAAGGCGGUCCUAUCGCGUGGCGCCACGUGGGGAGAACAGUCUGCCUGCCCACGCGCGCGACGGGACGGGCCGUCAGGCGGGGCCCGCCACUACCGCGCCUCGGCAUACGAACGGAUCCGUUGCGGCCGUGGACGGUUGGUUUCCCCACGUUGUUACUGCGCGCAGUAACUUCAUGGGGUAAAUUGUGGGGCGGUGUGGGACAUGGUGCGCAGUUAAUCCCACGCCCGCCCCCUCGGCUUCUCAGCCCGCAGGGCUAUAAGUAGGCGGGGGGAAACGGAGCGGCGCAGCUUGCGCGCCCUUCUUCCCCGCUACCCCACCUCAUCU
Molecule: long non-coding RNA, 64704 nt
Filed under: Triticum aestivum (bread wheat)
Lineage: Eukaryota; Viridiplantae; Streptophyta; Magnoliopsida; Poales; Poaceae
Description: long non-coding RNA (TAES_LNC009550)
Source: RNAcentral